UUAUUCAUUCAAUAACUACAUGUGGAUUAACUGAUCUGAUUAGUGUCGAUUGCCUAUAAUAGAUGUGUGGGUGAGGUUGGGGGAUUCAGGUAGAAAGAAUAGGGUGCAUCCCCCCCACCCAGGAUUUCUGGAAUCAGGGAGAAUAACAGAUGGCUGUGAUUUGGUGUGAGGGGCAGGGAUGCAGUGGGCCUGAUUGCAGCCUGGGAGCAGGUGGUCGGAGAUGUGAGGGCUGCGGGCAGUAGCGGUUGGUGGUCCACAGCAGUAGGCAGCGGGGGGAGGGGGUGGCGUCCAUGGCAAGAGGGACAUUAUGGACAUGGUACAGCAGUGGGAAACAGUGUGGUGUGUUCAGGGCUGCUGGAGCUUUCACUUGCAGUGCUGCAGAUCUUGGCAGGUGUGGUGGCGAUCCAUCCAGGCAGGGGAGGGAGAGGGAGCUGAGGAUUGUCAAAAGUCUCUGUGAGUUUGGAAAGGAGAGUGGGGGGCUCAGAGAAGGGUUGUGAGCACUUCCAACAGAGGUGAGAAAGCCCUAGACCGGGCAGUGGAAGGGGAGUGGAGGUGAAGGUUGUGUGGUAGAGAGGGUUUCCCGGCAGGCUGGGAGCUGCCUGGUGUGCUGGAAGGCGGGGCCUCCUUGCCUGGUGUUUGGUCAAUGCAAGAGCACAGGAGUGUGGCAAGAAGGCUGGCGGGGGGUGCAGAUGGCAGCAGGUGGAGGACGGAGAGAGCUCUCCCCACUGUUGGACAUCAACUGCCCCAAUUUUUGAUGUUUAGGUUAAGAUGAGUUGAGCAUUCUUAUGAAUGCCCAUUGGCCUGUAUUCCAGAUUAUUCUUGUAUCUGGCCAAGUAGGAAUGCAAUUUCAUGACGUAAGGCUAGAAGUGCUUGUAAGGGCUUGCAUAAUGCCUUGAAUAUGAUGUUGUCUACCAGGCUAAAAACCAAAUCGGCCAAAACAUUUUUGUUUGGGUGAUUUUCGGAAGAGGAAGUCCACGAAUGCAAUGCAGCUCUGGAGUCAUCUGUAGAUUGUAGCAAGCCCAUCGGUCUCUCUCUUCCUUCCAAAAAAAAAAAGGAUUAAUUUCGGCUCCAGCACAUGGUGACUUGCGCCGUGUUCGUUAUCUCCUGAUAGGUGUCUGACAGGAGAUGGGGUGUGGGCUGCGCCAGGGAGGAGCCGGGGGCCGCACCACCUACCUCCGCAGUCAUGACUAUUUUGUCUUCACGGCAAUGUCAUAGCGAUGCUGGUGAUGAGGAGGGAGGCUCCCGUUUCUUGAGGGCUUCUGUGUCCUGACAUGUUGGUGAUCACAUUAGGGCUUGACGCCCCUCCGGGAGGUGGUGGGAAUGACGUCGCAAUUGCACAUCAGGACACUGUGCCUCAGAGAGGUUGAGUCCCAGGGAGAAGGCCACACAGUGAGUGCCACAGGUACCAGUGCUACCUAACACAUGACUCUGCAGCUCAGUGAUGUGAUGACAACCAUUUUAUUCUGUCUCUUCUGCUCUAAUGGCCACCCAUGAGUCUUCCAAGCUGGCGUGUGUACUGAGCUGGAGGACCCGAGAUCGUCUCACUCACAUUUCCUGCUGGGUAGGGAGAGCUGGAAGGAGGGGCUCCCCUCUUCAGCAUGUAGUCUCAGGGCCACUGAACUCCUUCGAUGGCAGCUGGCUUUCUGGCAUCAAGUGUCCUUAGGUAACCAGGUGGAAGCUGCUUGGCCCUUCCUGACCCGACCCCUCAGAUAUCUCAGCAUCGAUUGUGUCACCUUCAUUUAGUUCAAGUGAGUCACAGGCUGGCCCAGGCUGAAAGGCAGCUGGACUCAACCUUUGCAUGCAGGUGGGGCCAGUUACAUGGUAGAAGAGCAGAUAGGGUAAGAGACAGUGCCCUGGCCCUCCCUGGGAAACACGGGGCACCGCAAAUGGCCUGGGCAGAGCCAAGACCCCCACUGGGAUCUGUCUGACCUUGGAGCCGCUGUCCCGCUCCUGAGCAACACGCUCUUUUCCUCCUGAACGUCACAGGAAGCACGGGUCCCUGUCUCUGUGCCAUUUCCCUGUUCAAAAAUAGCAAAAGCAUCCCAUACUUUUGCUCAUUUAAACAUAUUUCUUUAGGGGUAGACUAGCUGUGAGGCAGACCUGUGGCCCUGGGUGUGCACCGGAUGGAAAUGAUUCCUGCAAUCAGGGCCGGGUGGGGAAGCAGCAUUCUUAGCAGCCUGCCACUGCCGCUCUGGUACGGGGUCACAGGAGGCUUGCAGUGCCCACAUCAGCCAACGUGGCCCUUGGUGGGGCUGCGCUUGCCCUCUUGCCAGGGCCUCUGCGGUAGGGAGGACUGCCGAGCGGAAACAGGUGAGCUGGGCUGAGUUUUCUGCUUGGCUAAUUCGGUGUGGCUUGACUCCAAGAAGGACACACUGACCUCCCCAUCAUCUUGUUUGUUCAGCCUUGCAGAAGCAGUUUUAUAGGAAACCAUUACAGCCUGGUGGUCUGGGCCCAGACCCGGUACACACCACGUGCCCGCACUAGGGAUGGGGACCAUUCUCGGUGAAUAUGAAGGAAUGGCAGGAAGCCGCCCUCCUGUUCAGUGAGAGCUCGCUGUGUGUCUGGCCCUGGGGUGGAGUGGGGUGGGGUGGGCAGUUUCUAGACUUUGCUCAUGGGUUAGACCUACUGGAGGACUCUGCCAGCUGAGGAGGCAGAGCUGGGGUGGCUGGGGCUGGGGGAUGCCAUGGGCACUUCAUGCUGCUUCUGGUGCCGCUCCUUCCUCUUUCAGGUUCCAUCUCCCACACUCUGUCCCUGCUGCCUUUACAUCUUCAGGGUGGAGAGGGACUCUGGCCACCCUGGGGCCAGCCAUCCUGUGUCACUGUUGGUGUGUAUGUGACCUGAGGUGGCCCCUCCAUCAACCCUGUAUCUCCGGCGCUAAGCCAGAGACAAGAAUAUCCUCUGGGGGGUGUCCCUGCAAGGGUGGAUGGAGAUGAGGCAUUAGGUGUGUCUGAUGCUUGGGAACGGCCCCACACCUGCGCAUCUUUGUGACAGUCAGUGGGACUGUGGGUGGAGGGAGCCACACACAUCUGUCCUGGCUCUCAGCAUCCCAGGGAAAGACGUUCUGCUCCACCCCAAUCAGCUUUGCCCUUUAACCAACCAGGGGCAUCCUGCAGUGUGGCCAUGUGGAGGUGGAGCUGGAGCCAGGCAUGGUGGCAGCCCUUCUAGACUGUGGGCAGCAGGCAAGCCUGCAGGACGGGUGUGUGUGGCUCUGUGUUCCCAGGAGGGGCCUGUACUUGUUGAGCUGGGCCAGAGCGGUGAAUGUACCUCCAGAAGAUCACAGAGCUGAGGUUUUCUGUGGGACAGAGCUGGUCCCCAUAUUCCUGUGGCCUUUGGGCUAAGAACUCAGUCAUCUACUUUACUUCCAGGCUUGGGAACACUUGGGGUAGGCUGGAAGUCCUCUGGUCUCACCCUGUGAGCUCCAUGUAUGCCUUGUUGAUAGCACCAGCGUGGCAGGUGACCCUCUCAUCAAAACUCCAAAUAUAGGCAUGGCCACACAGGGACAGGGGGACAGCAUGUGAUAAUUUGGGACAGCAGCUGAAAGCCUAAGGGUUAGGGCUGCUGUAUCCUUCUGAGGUGGUGCAGGGUGCAGGGCCCUCUGGGCCUCAGUUUCCUCUGCUGUGAAAUGAGGACUCUAUCUUGGCUCUGCAAAUGCCAGUGUCUUCUCUGGAAGAAAAGGCGCCUGUUGAGGGAAGUAGUACGCAGGUGUGAGGGGCCAGGCCCCAGACAGGAUCCCAGGAAGACCUAGGGCAGCGAGCCACGAGCGAAGAGAGGGGCCGAGGGUGAAAUGGGGUGGGCCCCAGAAGCUGGGAAGUGGGGAAAAUCCUGCUGUGUCCUGGGGGUUAGGCUCCACUGCCAGUGUUCACAGGAUCUGGAGCUGAUGGGGACACCUGCAGUGUCACCCUGAAGGGACAGAUGGCCCCCAGGCCAGCAGGGGGUGGCAGUGUCCAUUUGGCAGAAACAUUUGACAAGCAGAAGGCAGCUGGUCCUUCCUGCUCCCUGUCCAGGCUCUUGGGGCUGGGACCCCACUCCCAAUCCUGUCCUCCCAACCUCCCCACACAUGCAUAGGCCACUCCUGGGCAGAGGAGGGGUGCUGUGAUUUGUGGGCUUGGGAGAAGUUGGAAGCAUAAGGGUCAAGCCUACAGCUGGGUCUACACUGCCUGUGCCAGGCGGAGCAGGUGAGGGUGUCCCUGGCUCUGGGGCGGUGGCGCUGUUCACACUCCCUGUAGCCUGUACCAGGCCCUUCUCAGGGGCGAGGGUCCCAUGGAGCCCUCCACCUGCCAGGCUCUGCAGAUCCAACUCUUUUCUCUCCAGGGGUUUCAAACUUAGACAGGAAGUGGGAGUCAUUUAUUGGGCCCCAGACAACCUCACCAGGUCCCUCAGAGCCCUGAGGCCAGGAGGAGGAGGGUGGAGAUGGGGAGCGUUUCCUUUGUCCUCUCUCCCUGGCCAUCCCCAAACCUGGGGUGAGAUGGGGAGUCAUUAUGCUUUGUCUUUGUAAACAAGCAGCUAUAAAAACCUAUCAGCGUGCAGCACCUUCUCCAUAAAACAGGCUGGAUGGAUUUAUAACCCAGGCCCCCUCCUCAAGAGAAGCCGGCAAAGCAGGCCUCACCGGCGCUGGCUGCCAUCACCCUCCCUGCCCCCGCCCAACCUCAUGAAAGAAACAGAAGGGAAAGCACAUUGAGUUGUAAUAUGUUUUCAGUGGAAUUUGUCACAAUAAGCAAUGGGUUUUGUUGGGGCUCAUGGGAUGUUGAGGAAAGAGCCACAGAGUGGUGUAGGCUGAGGGCUGUGCCGAGAAGCCUGGGCUGCAGGAGGGCCGGGGCUGGAGUGUUGGCAGGGGCAGCACAGAGGCUCAUCUGGACAGUCCACAGCUGAUCCAGCCUACACUAUGCGUUGGAUGCUUUGCUGGGAGUGGGGGAUGUGGCUGUGAGUAUGAUUGACAAGGUCUGUGUCCUGAGAAGCCCCCAGAGCAGAUGAGAUGGACAUGUGGCCAGUGAUGGGACCAUGUUGAGUGGAAGAGACAAUGGGCUGAGCUGCCCAGAGCAUUACAUGACCAGCCUGGGUGGUGGCAGGUUCAGGAGGGCUUCCUGGAAGAAGUGAAUUCAUUCAGCACACGUUCAUCAGAGCCAGUGAUGUUUAGGCACUGAGAGUGCUAUCAAGGCUAUGGGAGGGAAUGGAGAGUUCCUGAGUCACUCCAGACUCUGGGGUUGAAGUGUCUGCUGAUGGAGGCGUGGGAGGGGCACAGCAGGGUCCCAGGUGAGCAAGGAGCUGUGCAUGCUGGCAGGUGGCAGGGCCAGGUGAGGGUGUCUCCACCUGUCUCCAGACCCCACCCCCACCCAGGUAUGGAAUUGCUAUCUCCAACUGGCAGAGAAGGAGACCGAGGUGAGGGUUUCACAUGUCAGGAACAGGUAGGUCGAGAUUUGAACCCAGACCUGCAGACACCAAAUCUAGCCCUCGCUCCGGUCUGCACUGACCUCCAUGCACCUCCGGGGCUCCACGCUCCGGUCUGCCCUGACCUCCAUGCACCUCUGGGGCUCCAGGCAGCUGCUUGGGUCGCUGCUGUGUCUGGGGUCUCUCCUGGCAUUCCUUAGGCCCCGCACCCAUCAACUUCCUUCAUUGUUCACUCGCAUGCCUUGAUGGUUGGGGCUGGCAUGCCCCGAGCUGACCCACGCAUGCGGCUCACCUUCAUUUUCCUUCUAGUGCUCGGUGAGCUUGAGAGUGAGGCUGAACUGUUGCUUGAUUUUUCUGUGACCCAGAUGAAGAACUGGGUAACCAUUUGCUCAAUAAAGUGAGAGACCCUGUGUUCCAGUUCAAAUGGGGGCACUGAGGACCAGUGAAGGGAAGCCAGUGCUUGUAUUUGUCAGCCUGGAGAGUUGGCAGAUACCAGCCAGCACACCUGUCUUUGCCUCGACCACCACCUGAAGUUGGUGCCCAGCCCCCCACUCCACCCAUAGAUGAGAGAAUUGAAGCCCAGAGAGGCCAGACUUCUUGCCCAGGAUUGCACAGCCAGCAGGGAUGCCGGAAUUGGGAUUCGGCCCCAGCCUUGUCUGACUCCAAGGCCAGUGCUAUUUCUACCAUGCCCAGUGUCUCCCAGAGCUAAUUUUGCGGCUGGAACUCCAACCCGCAAAGCUAUCUAGGGCAGGCAACUCGAUGAAAGAGAAUUAGGAGGGAAUCCUAGAAAAAUGGGGCUCGGCAGCUCCCGGGGAAGCCUGGAGAAGCCUCUGCCGGCAGCUGGGGGUGGGGCUCUUUUUAGUCCUCUCUGGCGAGGCGUUCUGAAGCCUCCUCUGGGAGCUCCGUGCCUCCGUCCAGGACUGGCUGUUUCUCUGGAAAUCAUUCCCAGCAGUAUUUGGCUUCUGGUGAAAGGAGAGAAGAUUCUGGUCACUCAGAGCAGGCCCUUGUGGGGGACAGAACCCAUUUUCCGGAGCUCUUGGGGCAGGGACCAGGGUGGCAGGCAGGGGCCCAUGGGCCGCCUGGGGGACCUUGUGCUCAGGGACUUAGAGAUUUGUUUUCCUACUGAAUAUAUUGCUUUCUCUUGUCUGCUUUGUGCAAUGACAUGUGGAUGUGGGGUGAGGAUGGCUGGCAGGACACCAGAGUCCCUCCCCACAGGGGCUGGGCGGGGUGGGGGGCCCACAGUCUCACGCCAGCAUGGCUCUGUGCUUGCACUCCUCUCCAGGACAUAUUUAGUGGAAAUGAACUCAUUUUAUGAUUCAAAAUUAAAGCCAUGUAUUCAUAGGGUAAACACGAUUAGAGCGGGCAGAGGUGCACUGUGAACGUGCAGUUCUUUCUGAAUGGGCACUUGGAGACGUGCCUGUUCUCUGUAGCUGCUACGGGGGUCUCCUGUUGCUGGGAUGGAGCACAGUUGAUUCAUCCAGUUGCCUGUUGACAGACAUCAGGUGGUAUCCAGUGUUGCUUUGUUUCCCUGUUUUGCAUGGUGCUGUGAAUUCAUGGUUGUGCCAGUGUGUCUGGGCCUUGGAGAGUCAGAGGGCAGGGCCCUCUAUGUGGAAUUGGUGUGGUUGGGUGUGUGGCUGUGUGUUUUUAGCCCUUACAGAGCUACUCCUUCUAACAUGUUCUGGAGGCCUCCUCUGUGCCUGGGGGCUAUGCAGUCACUGAACUGUCACCCAGGGCUUGCCAGAACCUGGCCUGGCCUGAAGGAACGCGGCUCUGGGGCAUGGAGGUUGGCUGGUUGGGUACCAAGUCCACAUCAGCAGGGGCACUGCCUCCACUUGCAGAGGCCAGCCCCUGCCCGGAGUUCAGCAGGACCUCUGUGAACCUUUGUGCUGGUGGCUCAUCGUACCAUGUCCCCUUGGGGUGACGGCCAUUGGCUUGUGGUUCCUUUGCUCAUUCAGGGGAGGAGGACAGCCAGGCACAGUGAAAGGGACAUGGGGUGGCCAUUCUAGUCCUUAACCCAGGGAGUGUCCCUGGGCUUCUGCGGCCCCACCUCCCUGGGCAGUCAGGAAGGUUAGGAGGGCAGGGCCUGGCCCUGGGGACUCCAGCGUGUGGCGGUGGGAGAGAGGAAUGGGCUCUGAAAUGGAGGGAGAGAAGGGCCAUCCAGAUGCUGGUGGCCUCCUCACCCCUUGGGCAGUGAUGCAGGGUGGUAGUCUUGACGGGCUGAUCUCAAGGGUCCUCCUGGGAGCCACACUUGGAGCUCUGUGGGGUGGGGCCAGUCCCAGUGGGGCAGGAAGGUCCCAGAGCAGCUCGUUAAGUGGGCCGAGGACAAGUGUCAGGAGACCUGCGCCCGGAUCCUCCUCCACCACCCCUCUCUGUGUGACUUCUCGGUACCCUAGUGUACCCAUCAGUAAACUAGGGAUGAAGCUGUUCUUAAAUCCUGCAGCGGUGGUGAGAGCCGCCCAAGAAAACGGAUGGAAAGGGCUUUGACCGAGUCUGGCACAGAGAACGCACCCAAUAAAUGACUGCCGUGACAAUCGUUCUUCUCGCGCUGGGUGGCCUUUGGAAGCCCCUCUGUGUGGGGUGCUCUCAUUUCUCAGCUGUGUAUCCCGCCCCUCGUCGUGGUGCGGCUCCCACGGGUGUGCACAGCAGUCUCUGCUCCUGUGUUUCCUGAAAAGGGGCCCAGAGAAUAUCUGCAGCUUCAAUAACUGAGUGAAUCCCAGAAACUUCCCAUCACAUUUGGGGUGAUUAGGCAAACACAUACAAUUCUGGCUGUGGGAAGGGAGCUGGCAGACCCGGUGCGAUGUGUUUCCCGCGGGGAUGUGCUCGUGUUGCUGUCAUUCUGGCCGUAGCUGAGGCACAGGAGAAAAUGGAGACUCCGAGAAGUUCAGGGGCUUGUCCAGGUCACGCUGUUCCGACGAGGUAGACCCUGGAUCUGACCCCAGGCUGUCCCUGCCAAGCUUGGAGCCUCUUUCUCAAAGGGAGACAGAUGGAUGUUGUUACAGAUGGGAUUGCCAAUUUCCUUCUUUGUAUUAAAUUGCCAAGGAAAUGGUCUCUUGCACCCCCAAAAGCAGGGGAAGGAGGAGAAUAAAGGUCAGGUGGCCAUCUCCGCCGGUGUGUGAGUGGGGUGGGGUUGGGGAGCUAGGAGGCUGGGCGCUGGACCCCUGAAAUUUCCAAAUCCCCACAACAUCCUGGGUGUCAGUGAGCCCCUGCCUUCCUCCCUGGAAUUUAUCUGGAGCUCUUCCUCCGCAGGGAAGAACAACAGCCCGUGAUGGGGUUAUUUCAAGGGGAUUCCCAUGGAAACGGGAGAGUGGGAGGUUCCUCCCAGCACUUGUAUAAUAGAAGUUGGCUGAGGUGGCGUGUCCCCGCAGAAGGGUGCUCAGGACCUUCUCUACACUACAGGCAUCCUCAGAGUGGGAGGCACUGGCCCCAGAGGGGCUGGCUCCCCAUUCACGCUCCUACCCUCUCUACCCAGCUCAAGACCCCAGCACUCCUGGGUGUGAGUGAGAGCAGGCCAGCUCCCCAGGAACCCCCAGGCCUGGGCCUUCCCAUGGUCUCUUUUCUCCAUCGAGUGUUGGGCUGCCGCCAGCCACAGCUUCCUGGCAGGACCUCCUGGCAGGACCUCUGUACUUUGAGCCGCUGUUCCUCUGCCAAGACCUGGCCCCCCGCCGCGGCCUGAAUCAGCCCAGCACCCCUUUGCCUCUGUUGCAGUGCUCACAUUUAUCCCUGCACUCCUCCAUCAGCAGGGAUUUUUUACAAGCAGAACCUUUGUUUGAUAAAAGAAUUCUGCCUUGAGCGGCCAGAACCUCUCUGAGCCUCACAUUUCUCAUCUGCUUAAUGGGAACAGCGGUGCCUGCCAUGCCUUGCUGGUGAUGAUUCCAUCAGGCAGGGAGACCGUGGGCCGUCGGCAGGGAGUCUGAGCAGGUGUCACCAGUAUUUCCAAUCAGCUGACGGCUGAUGGACUUGUCUCGGAGGCAGAGAACUUGGAGACCUGCAGACGUGCCCUGUGACAAGAUUCCUGUUUCUAUAAACCCUGCCUGGGCCUGGUACUUUUCAGUGUGUACCCAGCUCUCCUGUGUGAAGUCUUACCUGAUUUUUAUGCCACCUUGAGGACAGUGAUGUUCAUCUCCAUUGUACAGAUGAGGAAACUGAGGCUCAGGGAGGCAACAUGAUCUUUGCAAGGAUCCAUCUCUUUCCCCCAGGGCCUGGCUGCCCCUCUUGACCAUACAGGUGGGGUUAAAACUACACAGGAGGAAAAAUGAGCCUCGAUGGGGGUGGGAAGCUGGGGCAGGAAAACGUCCGCUGCUCUCCCAAGUGGAACUGUGCUAGCUGUCUGUAGGUGUGUCAGUGUGGGGGAGGGGAGGGAAGCCCAGUCCUUUGAAAAGUAGGGGGCGGUUUGAUGAUGCUGCAGGGGCAGCUCUGAGUUCUGGAGUCUCAGAACUUGGUUCUAGGCGGUUCUGGUGGAUCACGUGCUGUUCUGAGCACUUUGCUAUCCAACGUGACCCUAAGGAUAAGUGCCAUUGUUACUGGCUUUUUACAGAUGAGGAAACUGAGGCACAGAGGCAUGCAGCCCACACCUGUAAGCACCAGGAAGCCUUGGCUUUUAGGGUCCCUGGAGGGCAUGCAGGGCAGUCGCCUGAGCUGGGAAGCCUUGGGCUUGCCUCCAGGCCAUGUGGCCACUGUGGGACAGGAGUCCUCCUGCGUUGGGUACUGGGACACUUCGGGCAGAGGGCUGAGGACCCCAGUCCUCCCAUAGAACAUCAGGUUGGAGUGAGACGUUUAGAGCCAGGUCUCUGUGUCUAGAAAGCACCUCUUGGGUCACUUGCAUUAGUGAAAAUUAUACAUUUGAAACUCCAUUUAUUUAUUUAUUUAGAGACAGGGUCUCUCUUUGUCACCCAGGCUAGAGUGCUGGGGUGCCACCAUAGCUCACUGCAGCCUCAAACUCCUAGACUCAAGUGAUCCCCCUGCUGGGGUCUCCCCAAGUGCUGGGAUUACAGGCAUGGGGCACAGCGCGUGGCUAAUACUCCCUUUUCAUGAAAAGAAACAGCUUUAACUCUGAAAUCUCAUCUGUGCCUUGGCGUGAGAUGAGAGCAGUCACCGUCACUUGCUUUUUGAAUAUUUGAUUAACAGGUAGAGAGCCUGAAAUCCAUUUGACAUCUGAUCCUUUUGUAAGCUUGGUUACAUUCUCUUAAAUUUGUUCCAGUUGGAUUAAUUAAAUGCAUGGUUGCUUAUACAUGUGUGUGCAAAUGAUUCUGGCAGGUCGUGUUUUAGCUGGAUAGUGAACAUAAGCGUCUAGAAUGUUCUUAGCUGUUGCAGGGAUUACCAGGAAUCACCUUGAAAAGCUUUGGGAGGGGAUUUUGUUACUGUUGUUGUUGUUAUUUUGCUUUUUUUGAGACAGGGUCUCACUCUGUCACCCAGGCUGGAGUGUAGUGGUCUGAUCUUAGCUCACCGUAACCUCUGCCUCCCAGGCUCAAGCGGUCCUCUUGCCUCAGCUCCCUGAGGAGCUGGGACUACAGGCGUGUGCCACCACACCCGGCUAAUUUUUGUAUUUUUCGUAGAGAUGGGGCCUCACCAUGUGGCCCAGACUGAUCUGGAGCCCCUAGGCUGAAGAGAUCCACCUGUGUUGGCCUCCCAAAGUGCUGAGAUUACAGGCGUGAGCCACUGUGCCCAGCCUGGAGAGAUUUUUGGAUGCGCUGGGCCACAGAUGUGAAGGUGAAUACAUGGAAAUGAUCCCUGCUGCCUGCCUGUGUGUCCAGUGGAUGUGUCCCUAAUCUCUCCAGAUGGUUUUACUGUGUCAAAGUGAGAAAUGCUGAGAGCAGAGCCAUCUGCCUGGCCAGACAUCGCUUGGAAGCGUGGAGACGUUUUGCCUUUUUGUCCCACGAUUCUCCCUUCAUGUGCAGCUUCAUUGGCUUAAAAGAAAUUAAGAAACUGGGCCCCCACUUAGGACCCCCUGAAGUGCAGAGUCACUGUCUUUGAAGUGGUGGGGUAGGGGGAAAACAGGAGAUCAGGGGUCUGAUAAUUUCUAGAAACCCCAGCUGAUUUACAGCUGGGCUGCGUGAGGUCCUCUGAGGAGGCAGAGUGUAUAUGGAAUUUCCAGUAGUCCUCAUUUCCCCUCUUAGAAUCCAGGGGAUCUGGGGCCUCAGCCUUCCUAUCUGUAAGAUGGGACAAGUAACAACUAGGCUUUGGGCUUGUCAGGAAGACUGAAUAUGAAAAUGGAGAUGAAAACUGGUCGCAGUGCCUGGCCCCUCUGUCUCCACCAGCCUACCCGUUGGUCCAGCCCUCCCUGAUCUCGGAGGGAGCAGACGUCCCAUAAUGGGUGUCAGCGCACCCUGGUUCUAUUUAUCCAUCUGAUUUCCAUCCUCUAGCCAUGUUAGACACAUGGGGCUUGCCUGUCCCAUUGAUUCUGGUCAACUCUUUGGUUCUGGGCCAUAGUGUUUCUAACCUGUCCACUCUCUUCUCAUCAGGCGUUUGGACCUGGUUGGGUUCCCAAGCCCUGUCACAGGCAGGGGGCUGUAGGAGGCUGCCCACGUGCCAGGGUUGUUUGGACCUGGUUGGGUUCCCAAGCUCUCUCAUAGACGGGGCCUGCAGGAGGCUACCCACGGGCCAGCGCUGGGCUGCUGGGCUGCUGCUGUGAGCACUUGCCUUGUCGCUGCUUGUGAGAGGCUGUGUGGGCCGAGACAGCCAGAUAAGAUGCGCCCGGGAGCCAUCUGUUUGCAGCCCUUGGACCAGAUGGUCUGCAAGGACUCCUCGGGGGGGCCAUGGGGUGGGGAGGUAAUACAUUUGCUGAGCACCCAGCAUCUUCCAGAGCCUCAUUGCAGCCCUACCAGCUGGGCAUUGCCAUCCAGGUUUAUAGGGACCAGGAACAUGAGGCCCAGAGUGACUGAGUUACUGGUGACAGUCACCCAGCCAGAAAGUGGCAGAGGUGGGGUUUGAACCCAGGGCUUCCUGAGUCCUGGGCUUAUGUUCUCUGCAUCAGGCUGCUGAGGUUCCAGCUGAAUGCUGUGGCAGAGUGACUUCUGAGAAGUACUGCAGAGGGUCGGACUCACGCAGGGGUGGUCUGGCUUCUCUGCCUGGUGCCUUGGGACAGAGAAGGGACACCCAGCUCCCUCUGCAGCCCUGGGGCUUUACCCAGCGUCUGCAUGGUGUCCUGCAGCACCCUGCCUCUGGAGCGCACCCUGUGUGUCUCACAAAUUAUGCUUUGCCUGUAAACCCUUUCUAAUGAAAUUGGUGGAAGAUGGAAAAGCCAAAUUCAGUUUUCAGAGAUGACACUAAUCCUAUUAAGGUUGAUGGGGCCAGAGUGUGUAUGGAAUUAGUCUUGCCAGGUGGCAACCGGGCACCUGCUGGGAAGGCUGAAGGGGAUCCUAACAAGAGUGGCACCGAAGAGACAGGGAAGAAGCUUCGGCCUCUUAUCUCCCCGCAGUUUAAAUAACGGAGGCCGCUGUUGAGCUUUGUUCUCCAGCGUUCUUGGGGUGGAAAACAGGGCUUCACACCAAAUGGAAAUGGGAGGCAGUGGUGGUCACCAAGCAGGGAGGUGGUGAAGUAGCCAUUUAGGCCGGAAAGUCAUGCAUGAUUUCUAAGCUUCAGUCUCCUUAACUGUGAUCAGGGGACUGGGUGCCUCCCUCGGGCAACUUCUGGGACCCGGCACUCAACGCACGGAGCAUCUGACUGCUGUGCAGCCGCUAGCUUCUCGGUGCUGGGGCAGUGGUGUGAGUGUGGACUCUGGAGUCAGAAUUCCUGCCUUCACAGCCCCACUCCUCACCUUGCUAGCUGCGUGGCCUGGGCUUGUCUCUGAGCCACGUGGCCACUGUGGGACAGGAGUCCUCCUGUGUUAGGCUCUGGGACGCUGUGGGCAGAGGGCUGAGGACCCCAGCUCUCCCUUAGAAUAUCAGGUCGGUGUGAGACAUUUAGAGCCAGGCCUUCGUGCUUAGGAAGCACCUCUUGGGUCACUUGCAUUAGUGAAAAUUAUACAUUCGAAACUCCAUUUAUUCAUGUAUUUAUUUAGAGACAGGUCUCUCCUUGUCACCCAGGCUAGAGUGCAGUGGUGCCACCAUAGUUUGCUGCAGCCUCAAACUCCUAGAUCAAGUGGACCCCUGCUGGGGCCUCCCAAAGUGCUGGGUUCCAGUGAGUUGUGUCACCUCUCCAUGCCUCAGUUCCUCCAUCUCCGAAAAGGGGAGAGUGAGACUGUACCCCAACCCCGGGUAGUUGGGGCUAAAGUGAGUUAGUUCAUAUAUAGCGCAGGUUGAGUGCCUGGUGUGCAGGGAGUGCUCGGUCUGUUGGUUCCUGUGAUGGUCCCCAUAAUCAUCACUGGUGUCGCCUUGUCCCCUCUCCCAGCCCUUAGGGCCAGGCUGUUUGUGGUAGGCACUGGGGUCUGAAAUGGCCUGGACUGAAUGGUCAGUCGAAUGACCACCACAGUCACAGCUUGGUGGUCCCAGGGGCUGAAGCAGGUGGCCAAGGGCAGUUUCCUUUCUCUGUGUGGGUCCAUUAGCUCCAAGUAUGUUGUUCCUGAGCCCAGACCUUUGCCUGCUUGCCCACCUCCUGCCGAGAGUGGGCAGAGCCAACACCCCUCUCUGGGUAGAAUCAGCCCAUGGCUGGGAGGGGAGCCAGGCCUGCUGCUGGGGGCACAGACAGUGGGGAGGUGCAGGCCAGGCACUGGAAACCUGGCCUGUGUGCAGACAGCGCAUUAGACAGUCUGUGGCCUCCCCAUAACUCAGGCCACAGAGUCCUCAUCUUGGGUACAACCAAGCGACUGGCCGUUUCCAGAUCAAAGAGCAGAGUGGAUUCCAGAGUGAGAUGGUCCUCUUGGCUGGCUGCCUUCUCCCGCCCACGGACACUGUUUGGCUCUGACGGGGCUGUGUCCUAGGCCUGACCCAGGUGGUCAGGAGCCUUCCACUCUGUGGUGGGAUGUGCUGCAGGAGUAGGGUGGAGGAGGAAGGGAAUGGCCAGUGGUGGACAGUUGCCAUGCCCCAGGUAUUUAAUCUUGACUGCAGUGCUAGGGGGUCAUACCCCGUGCUACAAAUGAAGAACUGAGACUUGGGGGUCACUGCUUGCCCACAGACCCACAGUGAAGCAUGGGGCCAUUGUGUUGUAUGGGUGUGGCUGGGCCUCACCCCCCCUUUCUACAGUACCACCCCUUUAUUCCUUAUCAAGUUCACCUCCAAGGCCCUUUGGCUCCUCACUGGGGCAGCCAUAAGGGGAGCAGAGGCCUGCGGUCUGUGCAUGGGUGAGGGCAGAGUGCUGGCUGGGUCCUGCAGGUGACAUGUACAGAGCAGAAGGUGAUGCUGGAGCUGUCUACCAGGGAAGGGCUGUCCAGGAAGAGGUCACAGGCUGGACAGAGGCGAGGUGGAGAGAGAGUGCGUGUGUGUGGGGACCACAGGCAGUUCAGGAGGGCAGGACUGUGACAUGCAGGCUGGGAACCAGGGAGGCUGCAGGUCAUGGAGUCCCCGUGGGGCUCAUGGGGUGGGCUGAGGAGUGUGGCUCCUCCCCUGCUGCUGGAGGUGCCAGGAAGGAUUUAAAUCGUGGAGUGAGGGACCAGAGUUGGACUUGGAAGUGUUACUGUGGUGUCGGUUUGGAGGGGCUUGACAGGGGGAGAUUAGAGGGAGGGGCUGUAGUGAUGUUGUUGAGAUUACCUGAUCCCUUUAUUGCUUUCAUGCAUGAGGGCCCCAAGGGCUUUCUCUCCAGAGCUUGCAUGGGGGUUCCCUGUUGGUGGCUUCCCUCAGGCUGCUGGAACUCUUUGCCUGUGCACCUGGAGAGCUGGAGGUUCCUGGAAUCUCAUGUCCUCUGCCAGGGGCAGCCCUCACUGAGACAAUGACAGGUACAGGGGUCUAAAUACCCCAGCUCCCUCCCUCCUGAUUGGUACAUUUUGGAAUGGGACCUACACUGUCCCCAGAGCUCCCACGGGCCUGAGCCCUCCUUGAGAGUUUUCCUGUUAUCAUACCCCCCUUGGCCUCCUUCAUGUCCUGGCCCCACUUCCCUACACCCUUCCUGGCUUUCCCAGCAACACUUCCUAAUCACUUCCAGGCAAAUCUUGGCCUCAGGGUCUGCUUCUGAAGAACCCAGGCUGAUAGAAGGCAGCAAAGGUGCUGAGGCACUAGGAUAAACACGGUGAGACCCAGACCCUGACGGCCUCAGUCAACUAUACCGGGAGGCUCUGAAACGUGCCAGUCAGGGAGGGAGGUGCUGAGGCCCCAGCAAACCGGAGGCCAUAGUCAGAACCAUGGACAGCGCCAAGGCUGCCAGGGUUCAUCAUCUUGGGUCUCCCAAUUGACUGGGCUCAGAGAUCAGCCUGCUGGGGUUUACAGAGCCAGGCACCUUAUCUAUCAGUGUGCCCACUACUGAAAGCCUCUGGUGAGUGCCAUGGUGCCCGAGGGAGCUUGGGCCUCCCUUAGGGAGUUGCUAAGACUCCUCCACACCUGCCCUGCAAAUUGUUGGUCCCAGGGGACUCUGAGUUUCCCUGUUCCUGGUUUUCCUGCUCAUGGGAUUGGGGGUCUGGCCUUAGCUUGCUGGGACAGAGAACUGAUCAUUCAGAUACAAAACUCUUUUCUGAGAACUCAGACAGAAAAUGAACUCAUGCAACACGUACUCACCUGUCCAUGUGCCCACCCAUCCACCAUGUAUAUCUCAGUUGAUUUUUGACCCCAUGCCAGGCCUUGGGCACCUAGAGAUGGCUUGGUCCUUAUGGUCAUACCCAUGUGGAGGGAGACAGAGAUGGACAGAAAGACAACCAUAAUGUCAUUUUGACAAGUUCUGGGAAAAGGUGGGCCACCCUGGCUGUGAGACCUGUAUGUGGUAAUGGAGAGAUGGGGAACUGUGGAGGUGUCAGGGAAGCUCCCCCUGGAGCUGUUCCUUGAGUUUGUUCUAAGAGAUUAGCAAGAGUUUUCUAUGCAGUGAAGUGAAGAUGCAGGGCAGGCGGCUAAAGGUCCUGAAAAAUAGCAGUGUUGCGUGGGGCAGCAAGUAGCAUGGGGUAGGCUAAGCUCCAGCUGGUCGAGUUGGGGCCGGAAGUGUGGACUUGGUUGGUAAGGACUCCUGAGAGUGCCACAUCCAGGCACUUGGGCUUGAUGCUGAAAAUACAGUCAUUCAACAGAGGUACGUAAGUCUGAGUGUGUUGUAGUUAGAUCUUCAGUUUAGGAAGCUCUCUCCGCUCAUGAUGGGGAGAGUGGGUGAGAUGGGGUUGGGUUGGAGAUAGAAGAGCAGAGGACAAGUGCAGACUUUCUAGGAGAUGAAGUGGGAGGGGCUGGUCCCAGGGCCGGGCUGUGAGUGGUUGUGACCAGAGCCAUCCAUCAGCCCAGAUCAUGUCUCCCUAAUUUAGAAGAAAAUGAGAGGAGAGAGCCUUUUCAUCUCUGCCUCUUCUGGGAUGGAAAUGAUCUAUUUUGAAUCACACUAAAGUUAGAUUUCUAAUUUUCCUUUUAAUCCAUGUCUCAUUUAGAGCAUUAGAAACGGAAAAAGCAUCCCCGUAUGAAUGUAGUGUCAUAAAUCAGUGCACGUCACAAACUGCAGAAGGAGUCAUUUCUACAAGAGUAUGCAGCCUUGCAUUUAUAAUAAAUCUAAUUCUUUAUCUUUUUGGGCUCCAGACUAGAGUAAUUAGUCAUUUCUGCUGAUACUGGCACACCAUUGUGUAUGCAGUGUUAAUGGAGAGCACAUGUAUUUGGACCACUUUCGCAAUUGCUUGUGAGCAUUGCUUUGUGUCUCUUCUACCUGAUUCUAGAGGAGAAACAUCCUAUUUAUUUCAUUCUUGCCUCUUGUAGAAAUAGGUAAUGAUAGUGGUAAUAAUAGUAACAGAUAACACUGACUGGGUUACUUCCACAUCUCUAGCACUGUUCAGAGAUUCAAUAAGAAAGGAUCCUUUGUCCAAAUGGAAGAUGCCGUGUGUGUGCUGAGGUCCUUGAUAGAUCCGAUCAUGUUCUGUCUUCUGUUCUGUGCCUGCACUGUGUCAGGGACCACCUAGAUACCACUCAUAGAUUAUUCACCUAGUAGGUGGCCCUAUUUAAAAGCUGGCCCUCUACCAUAAAUGGAAAACCAGGAAAUCAGGUCAAAAAUAGAAGUAACCAAAGACAAGGGCAGGUGUUUCUACUCUAAUAAAAUAGAGACAUCCUGAGAAACUCUCAUUCUGCAAAAUCCUACAUGAAUGACAUCAAAGGUGUUGGACAGAAUGGGGUUGGGACAGGUGACUGGAAACCUCUGUAAUGCGUCACCAGACACCAACAAAAAUAUUAAGUUUUAGAAAAAUUGGGCACAACUAAAGAAAAAAAUAUUAAUUCCUGUUAAAGAACAUUCCAACCACUAUACGAUCUUACCUUGAAGGAAAAAGUGAAGGUCAUUUAAUGGAAGGGGCUGAAAGGAAGGGAGCUGAACUGUGGCUGGAGACAUGGCCCAGGUACAGAGGGAGACCCGCCCACCAACUGCUCCAAACUGAGCUGAGAGGUAGGAGUGCAGGGAAUGAGCCUGUUCUCCUGGGCCACAUUCCUUUGAGGCUUGAUGUUCAGCCAUUAGUGUAUUUCGUGUUCCGUUGCUUCCUCUAGCUGGCACAAAACGUUAACACACUGAGGAAGGCUGUGUUUGAACCAACCCAACUUUUACAUUUUAUUGACAUCAUUCCUUGUUUACAAAGUGUGUGAGACCCACUUUGCAAAAGCGACGGUUGUAGUGACUGUACAGUGGUGAGUAGGAUUGUUAAAAGCAGGCUAGAUACUGUGACUCAGGACUAUUAUUCCAGUUGCCUGAUACGAAAUAGGACAUGAAGGAGGAGUUUUCAUGAGAACUCUGGCAAAGAUCCAUGAAACCACUCUUCUUUGCCCUACAGAAAACCUGGUAAAACUGAAAGUAAGCCAGUAGCCUCACGGGUUUGGGAUUGAUCCAGAAGACUGAAGGAAUAAAAACAAGCUAAUAUAUUUCUAUCCCCUCCCUUCCAAGGCCUGUAGUUCUAUUAUGAGGAGGCAGCAGUUGAUGCACAUAAAAACAGAGGCCAUGCAUCUACACAAGGGUGUUGAGGACUGAAUGAGGUUAGGUCAGAAAGAACUCAUGGUGGAGAUAGUGUUGUCAUUGUGGGGACGAAGAUUUCCUUCCACAAUUUAAAUGACACCUGUCAUUUCUGUGAGCAGUUAAGAGACAAUAACUGCAUAGUGUUGGCCGCUGUACCUGUCCUGUGCACUAAUCCCUGAGCAUAUUUAUGAGUCUUUAAAAGUACAUUCUAGUCAACAUGGAAAACAUAUAGUAAGAGACGUGACUCUACCUAGAUUGAGCUCAGUUUUGUAGAGGGCUCUCGAGGAUUUAGAAGUGACAGAGUCCUGGAUUAGGUGACAUUUGAUAAUAGCUGUGCCCCUAACUUCCUCUUACUUCUGGUCAAGCCACUCCAUACUCUGGUGGUAGUUUCCCCAUCUUUAAAAUGAAACAGUUGAAUCAGACAGCUGGUGAAGGGAUGGGUGAGGUCAGAGAUGCAGUUUGCUUCUAAGCAAUUACAAUUGUAUUUCCUUUUUUUUUUUUGACAGAGUCUUGGUCUAUUGCCAGGCUGGAGUGCAGUGGCACAAACUCAGCUCACUGCAACCUCUGCCUCCCAGGUUCAAGGGAUUCUUCCACCUCAGCUUCCCGAGUAGCUGGGAGUAGAGGCGCAUGCCAUCACGCCUGGCUAAUUUUUGUAUUUUUAGUAGAGAUAGUGUUUCACCAUGUUGGCCAGGAUGGUGUUGAUCUCUUGACCUCGUGAUCUGCCUGCCUCGGCUUCCCAAAGUGUGGGGAUUCUAGGCAUGAGCCACCACACCCAGCUUACAGUUGUAUUUCUUGUCAACUACGUUCAGCCUAGCCCUUUGCCAAACUUUGUUGAGGAAAUGGAGCGAGAUCCUUCUCCUUUGCUUUGGUGGUUUUUAAAACUUGGAUGCCCAAAGAAACCAGGAAGGUCCUAUCAGUGAGCAAAGUACAAAAUGCAUAAGCAAGACACAGGGCAGCGUGACGCUGACGGCGGCAAACUAACGGUCCAUCCAUGCCUUAAGGAGGGGCGGGGACUAAGGUGUACCGGCAGGCAUAGCCUUGCGGGGUUCUGCAUCUGCUGGCUCUUAGAAUUUCUGGAGAGAAAUCAGAAAUUCAGGUCUACAUGUCGAAUCUUUCAAUAUUGAAAUGUUUGCUUGGCAGUGUGUAAACAUCAUUUGGGCCAAAGCCCGUCUGUGAACUAGUUAGCCAAAGACAACUUGGGCAUUUGGACCUCAGCUUUAUAGUCUAGAUUGAGGGUUGGUAAACUAUGGCCCACAAGCCAAUCUGAGCCACCUCCUGUUUUUAAAUAAAGUUUAAAUGAAAAUGCGGUCACACCUCUUUGCUUAGGUAUUGCCUGUGGCUACUCUCACACUACAACAGCAGGGUUGAAUCGUUGUGACAGAGACAGUGUGGCCCCGUAUUUAUCCUCUGGGCCUUUAUGGAAGAGGGUUGCUGACCCCUGGUUCAUGUCAAUGAGUCAUAUGGAACAGCAGGAAACAUGCUGAAUUUGGAGCCAAAUGACCAGGGUUUGAAGCAUGGCUCAGGGAACUCUAGCAACAGAGCAGAGAGUGUUUCUCUUUUCUCCUUUUGGAAACUAUCCUGAAGAAACAAAUGGAACAAAUGGAAAUGCAGAUGACAUCUUUCAUGAAACCAUAGCAUCUGGAACCUCAUAUGUGGGGAGGUGCAGUAAAGGUCAAAAAUGGGUGCAGGACAUCUCCACAGGGAAAGAAAAUGCCCAGGGCUCUCAGACAGAGUGAACGAAGCAGAACUUUUCUGGACCUUAUGUGGUGGGCUCAGAAGGCAAGACCUAUAGUUCCUCUCAUGGAGCAACAAGAACAAGUGCACUGGCUGGUGUCUUAGUCCGUUCAUGCUGCUAUAGCAGAAUACCUUAGACUGGGUGACUUGUAAGCAGCAUACUUUCAUCUCUUGCAGUUCUGGAGGCUGGGAAGUCUGACAUCCAGGUGCCACAGAUUUGGUGUUUGCUGAGGACCUGUUUUCUUAUUCAUAGAUGGUGCCUUCUUGCUGUGUGCUCACAUGGCAGAAGGGGCUAUGGAUUUCUCUGGGAUCUUUUUUAUAAGGGUACCAAUCUCACAUGGGUGCUUCACCCCUAAGACCUAAUUACUUCUGAAAGAUCUUACCUCCUAAGACCAUCACACUGGGGGCUAGGAUUUCUAUAUAUGAAUUUUGGGGGGGACACACAUUCAGACCAUAACAGCUGGUGUGAGAGCUGUCCCAGAUCUAGUUUUGCACAGAGUAAAAUAAGGGAAGUCUGGGGUGAACAAGGUCUGACAUGGACAAGACAUAUUUUCAAAAGGCAGUCUGCUAGUGAGGCAAAGUGGAGAAAAGGGCUUUGUUAUGUGCCAGCCUGUGGCAUCUGAUCUUUAACAAGAAGUAAAGGCCAAAAGAAUUGACACUCACCCACAAGCCUGUUUUAUAAGAACUAGAUUAUUCUUUUGGACACUCUUGUGCAUGCAUCUUGUAUAAACAGAUGGUUCAGGAAGAACUCACCACAUUCAGAGAUGAGUAAUAAUCAGUAAGGACCAGUGCAAGCUCUAUCUCAAGAUCCUCCAAAAAUAAAGAAAGUAACAGAUGAAAACUAUGCACAAGAAAACAUUUGCCAUAAAUCAGAUGAAAACAUCAACUGUAUAUAAUGUAUUGAAUUAAGGAGAAAAAUAACUGAGCAAUCACACCUAUAAAACAAGAGUAUAAAGUUGAGAUACAAGAACACAGGAGAAGUGGUAACAUGACAGAAGAGAGUGAAACCUGAUAUGAUGAGCUCCACAAAGUAGAUUGAUUAAGAAAUAAACCCAUCUAAAAAAAUGAAGUCUGCACUUAAAUGAUCAUGACAGGGAACACAGAAAACACAGUAAGAGAUAUGGAAGAUGGGAUUGGAAAAAGCAAGAUAAAUUAAUGUAAAGAGACAGAGAAAAAUGUUAGAAAGCACAUGAUAUACAGGACAGACAAGGGGAUCCAACAUACACAUAAUUGGUAUCCCUGAAGAUGAGAAUGAAAAAAAUAAAAAAAUUUAAGACACAAUUCCAGAACAUUCUAAAAAUAAGAUUUGAAUUUAUGGACUGAAAGGGAAUACAGUGUGUGGCUGAGAAAAUACUGACAUGAUGAGGUCAACAGAAAGACAUAUAAUAGAGAAGGACUAAUUUCCUCAUAAAUCAAGAACCCCUGAAAAAAAUUCAAUAGAAAAAUAGAUAAGGGAUGUGACGAGGAGACGGUUUAUGUAAAAGGAAAUAGAAGUAUCUUUUAAAUACGUGAAAACUAAACCUCACUCAUAAUAAGAAAACUCCAAGUUAAGAUACUGUUUUUUAUCUAUCAUAUAGGCAAGGACUAAAAUAGCUAUUGCCAUGAUGGUGUGGAUAUAAGGGAAACAGGAACUCUCAGAAACUCAGCUACGGAUUUCACUUCUAAUCAUUGUGUGAUGAAAAUACACAAGUAAGAGCUGGGUGCAUUGUCUCAUUCCUGCAGUCCCAGAACUUUGGGAGGUCUAGGUGGGCAGAUCACUUGAGGUGAGGUGUUUGAGACAAGCCUGGCCAACAUCACAAAACCCCAUUUCUACUAAAACUCUAAAAAUUAGCCAGGCAUGGUGGAGUAUGCCUGUAAUUUUAGCUACUCGGGAGGCUGAGGCAUUGCUUGAACCCAGGAGGUGGAGGUUGCAGUGAGCCAAGAUCGUGCCACUGCACUCCAGCCUGGGUGACAGUGUGAGACUCUGUCUUAAAAAUAUAUACAAGUGAGAAACGACAUUUGUCCACAUUUGUCAUAGCAUUGUUGAUAAUGGGGAAGAAUAACUGCAAUGCCCAUCGAAAGGGGACUGUUUACAUAAAGUAUUCCAGAGUGUGACAGCGGACAGCAAUGAAAAGAACGUGACAGCUCAGGGUGCAGUGAUGUAGAAUGAUGUCUAAGAUUCUUUAGGUGAAAAGAGCAAGGUGCAAAACAAUGGAUGAUCCCUGGCAUCAUUUAUGAUUAAAACGUGGUAUCUUGUGAUUGCUUGUGCGAUCACUCCUUCUGGUAGGAUGGUGCACCUGCUUGUUCAUAGUGGUUGCCACUAGACCGGAGAGCUGAGUGAGUGGGAGAAGGGCCUAAGGGAGACUUAUUUUCACUGUUAGCUUUUUUUGUGCCCUUUGCAUUUUAUACUCUUUGCUUAACCAAAGGCUGCACAGCUUAGGUUAUGACCAUAAGCUCUAGAGUCAGCUGUUUGGACACUGACUGGGCUCCCUCUCACUGUUGACGUUGGACAAGUUACUUCACCUCUGUGGGUCUCAGAGGUGUAAGAUGGAUGUAGCACUGGUGCCUAUUUCAUAAGUCAUUGAGGAUGAAUUGAGUCAAUUCAAGUGAAAGAACGAGGACAGAACCUGGCACAAAAUAAAUAUAGUCAAAUUAGCUAUUAUAAUGACCACGUGUAUUGUUGAACCCAGGGUCUGUAUUUGGAGCCUGUAUGCUUCUUGGCCUUACGGGAGAAUGACUUGACCACAGAGCAGCCACAGCCAGGCAGUCAAGGGCACAGGGAGGGGUCCUCAGCCUGGGGCUUCAGGGAAGCUGCCCAGGGGAAGUGAUGCUGCUGGGUCUUACAGAAUGAUGGGAAAACUCAGCGGCACUGUUUUAGGUGGCACCCCUUAGAUCUGCAAAACUCUUGACAUCUCCUAAUACCAAGUAUGGGGUGGGGCUGGAGAGAUGGAAACUCGUGUCACCACUGGAAAUGGAUAUGAGAGCAAACCAUUUGCAAAGUCAUUUGCCAAUAUCCAGCUAUGUCCAAGGCCUGCAGCCCCUCUGUUCUCCUUCUAGGUAAAUAGCAGGGAAGCCUGCAGCUGUGCACAAAGAGAGCCAUUCGGCAACAAAGCUGACCCUCAAACAACAUGGGGUUGGGGGAGCCAACCCUCUGCACAGUCAGAAACCCACAUGUAACUUUUGAGUCCCCAAAAACUUAACUAACAGCCUUCUCCUGAUUGGACUUCCAAUAACAUGAACAGUUGAUAAACACAGUUUGUAUGUUGUAGGUGUUAUAUUCUGUAUCAUAGUAAAGUAAGCUAGAGGAAAGAAAACAGCAUUAAGAAAAUCAUACGGAAGAGAAAAUAUAUUUGCUCGUCGUUAAGUGGAUGGGGACCACUAUAGUUUUCAUGCUUGUUGUCUUCAUGCUGAGUAGGCUGAGGAGGAAGAGGAGGGUUUGGUCUUGCUGCCUCAGGGGUGACAGAGGGGGAAGAAAAUCAUGUAUAAGUAACUUUUGAGUAAUCAAAAGUUAUAUGUGGGUUUUUGAUGCACAGCUCAACUCGUGUUGUUCAAGGGUCAACUGUAUUCUAAAAUCCGAGAGGCUCUGAAACCCUAAAGAUUUCUUCCUGACUUAAUUGGUAGUGAACCCCAACCUAAACUGGUGCGAAACCAAGUCAUCUCUCCCUGUAGUGUGAAGUUUCACAUGUUAUGUACGGAAAUAGAAAUGUGUUUGCAUGUUGUCCCAGAAGCCCUUGGGGGUGACAGAUCUCCGAGGUGACCUGUGCACUAUAUUACUGUGUAGCCCAAAACAUCCUCUAUCCUGAAAUACUGGGCCCAGCCCCUGGGAUUUCGGUAAAGACAGCAGAGCUGCUGUGUGCUCAGGAGCUCCGGGUCACUGAAGGUGCUGAAGUAGAGGGGAGAGGGGGAAACAAGGCAGCAGGCGCCAGGUCCUGACGGUCCCUGGACACCUACUGAGGAUGUGGAGCACAACACUUGCUUCAUCCCUGGGGCUCAGAGAUGUCUACUGAACCAGUCGAGGGGCCUUCAGUCCACCGUGAGCCCCGGAAGGCACAGCUGUGGCCUACUCUGACUUGUCUCUCGGAAAGGUCACUUGGGCAGCGGGUGAGCCUGGCUCAGGAAAGGCAAGGGAGGGUGGGGACGGGUAGGAGGUGGGAGCCAUUCACUGGGCAAAGACUGUAGCCGUGUGGAUGGCGGGGGGACUGAGUAGCUAGAGAGGUAGUCAUCAGAGCCUGCUGCUGCCGUCUGAAGGUCUGGGUUCUCCCAAAUUCAUAUAUUGAAAUUAAGCCUCAAGGUGAUGUGUUAGGAGGUAGGGCCUGUGGGAGGUGAUCAGGUCAUGAAGGUGGAGCCCUCGUGAAUGGGAUUAGUGGCUUUUUAAAGGGGCCCCAGACAGCUCCCUGCCUUCUGGCACGUGAGGGCACAGUGAGAAGAGGGCCCUCUGUGAAGUACGAAGAGGACCUCCCAAGACACUGAGGCUUCCACACCCUGAUCGUGGACUUUCCAGACUCUAGAACAGUGAGAUGCAAGUGUGUGUUGUUAUAAGCCCCCCGAGUCUGUAGUAUCCUGUGGGAGCAGCCCCAAAUGACUCAGUCUACGGCCCAUCCUCCACCCCAAGGUCACACGGCUGGGAAGGGUAUCAAGGGCAGGGUUGGGGUCUUAGAGGUCCAGGGGGUCUUGGCCAGGCUCCCCAGAGGCAGGCCCUGAGGCGUGGGCUAGAGUGUAAGUGGUUUAUCAAGGAAGUGUACCCAGGGGAGUUCCAGGUACAAGUAGGAGGUGCUCAAGCACAGAGGAGCCAGGGAAGGGGCGCUCUGGACCGGAGUCGAUCCCAAACCGUGUCCCUCCAUGGCUUUGGACUCAGCCCCUUAGGGACACGGACUUGGAAGGGCCUGAGUCACAAAGUAACCAGGGUGACUGCUGGCCUAACCUCUGGGCUCUCCAGAUUUCUGGGGAUGAUCGUCUCAGCAUGAGAAGCUUUCUUCAAGGAUGGUCCUGAAAGCCUGGGGCCUGCCUCUCAUUUUGUCCUGGGAACAGGACCCUCACGGUGUUCUGGAGCCCUCACACUAGCUCGUCAGGUUGAUUGGGUAAUUUUCAGUUUGGUGAGCCAGUGGACAUUGUGUUGGUAGUUUGGAAUUGGCCAAGGCAGGUGUAUUUAUACCACGGAAGCUGACAGGGGCUGCCUUUCGGAGCCUCCCUCCCUCCAGGUAACACGGACCUGCACACCCUGGCUGCUUUCACACCUUCGCCCCCUCAGGCGGCUCCUCCUUGCUCAGUUACACCGAUCCUUGGGCUUAGAGGCAGAACCAUCUCAGUCACCCAGAAUCUCCCAAGUGGGGUCCCAGAAGGGGCAGAUGGCAGUGGCCCAGGCUAUGGAAGCCACUGAUAAACAUCCUCCAACAAACGGGAUUGGAGAUCUGCAAAGUUUUUUGGUUUUUUUUUUUUUUUUGAGACAGUCUUGUUCUGCCGCCCAGGCUGUAGUACCGUGGCACAUCUCAGCUCACUGCAACCUCUGCCUCCUGGGUUCAAGCGAUUCUCCUGCCUCAGCCUCCUGUGUAGUCGGGGUUACAAGUGCCUACCACCAUGCCCAGCUAAUUUUUGUGUUUUAAUAGCGAUGGGAUUUCACCAUGUUGGCCAGGCUGGUCUCAAACUCCCGAUCUCAGGUGAUCCACCCACCUUGGCCUCCUAAAGUGCUGGGAUUACAGGCGUGAGCCACUGUGCCCGGCUGGAUCUGCAAAGCUGUUGAAAGGAGGAUUGGGUAGGAUGACGAAGUUGGCCUGAUUCUGCUAAACGAACGUUUCAGCAUGUUCCCUCGUGUGCACGAAGGAGGUGUGCACGCCCCUCUGAGGGCCUUCAGUCUUUCUUCACUGAGACUGUGAAAACCAGUUCUCCCCAGCACUCUGGAGUUGGGGAGCCACAUAGGGAAGUCACUUCUCCCUUUCUGGACCACUCAGAACCCUUUGGCUUUUCACUGAUACCAGGCAGUCAGGUAGAGCAGAGAAGACAUGGAUCUGGAGCCAGGUGUCUGGUACAGGCUGUGUGGCUUCAGGUAACUUGCUUUGCCUCUCUGGGCCUAAGCUUCCUCCUGGAAGAUCAGGAUGCUCAUACCUAGUGUUUCAUGGGGUUGGGUGGGACGGUACAGGGGCAGGUAUGAGUACCAUCCCAUCAAGGAUAUGGUCCUGGCUGCUUUCAUUGAUCUUGGUGCUGAGGAAAAUGUGGCUCAUUCUCCUGGAAGAGGAAAUGGAUUCAUGUGCUCACUUCUUAAACGGGAAUUCAAGGUCCCAAGGUUGAUCGUGGCCCACGUAUGAGGCGGGGACUAGUGAGGCUUCAUGUGGUGCUCUAAGAUUAUAAAACUGGAGCAUUCUGUUGGGAAUCAGACUUCUGCUGAUGUGCUGUGUGACCUCGGGUAAGGUGUGUGACCUCUCUGAGCCUUGUGUUUGGUAGAAGCAGGUCAUCUUCCAACAGGCCUCCUUCUCAGACCCUCUCGGAUGCUGUGGGCAUACAGCUGGCCCCAUUCCACACCUGCCUUCUCCGGAGCUGGCCUGCUCUCGCGCACCUUCCUUCUUGGCUGUGACUGGGCAUUUGUUUCUCCCCUGCCAGCAAACUCCUUUGGACCAAGAAUUGAUGACCUCGGUGUUAGCAUAAAAUAAAGCUUCGAGAAGCUGGUGAAACACUAUGAGACGGGUCAUAAAUUUGGCUUUUCAUCCCUGUCGGAGGUUUCGUAUUAGAGAAAAUGAGAGGUGUGUGGAGCAGCGCAGUCGAUUCUGCUUCACGGGGCGGCGGGGUCUCUCUGGGAUCAUUCUCAGUCCAUCCUGCUGAUGUUCGUAUGGAUACUUGGCUAUGUGUUUUGGGUUUCCUUUACAAUUUUUUCAAUUUCCUUAAUGGUUUUUAUUUUACAAAGUCUUAAAACUACACAAGUUACUGAAGGUUUUGGUCUUCGUUACUGUCUUCCUACCAGGUAUGAGGGCCUGAGAUUCACUGUUAAUUGAUGAUCGAUUAUCUGAUUAGAACCAUACUUUUGCUUUUUAAGGACAUGUGAAAAGUAAGCCUAGAAAUGAGAACGCAAGUGUGGUGUUUCAGUUAGAAAAGGCAGUGUCGCAGUCAGGAAUUAAGGCUGCUGCUUCUCUGUCACACGGUAUACAGCAGGGGGUGGUAGCUAUAGCCCAUGAGCAAAAUCUGGCCCACUGCCUGUCUUUGUAAAUAAAGUUUUAUUGGAACACGCCCACAUCAUUAUCUACACAUCGUCUGUGGAUGCCUUUGUACUCUAAUGGCAGAGUUGCGGAGUUGCCAAAGAGGACAUAUGCCCCACCAAGCCAAAAAUAUUGGCUGUCUGGCCUUUUGCAGAAAGAAUUGACUGCCCCCUGGUAUAAAGGAAAGUUCGUGGCACAAGGUUAGAUCACCUACAGUGGAAGACCGUGCAGGACCCGGAAUCAGGAGGACCUGGGUUUGAGACCCGCACUGCCACUUCCUGGUUGUGACCUGGAGCUGCUUGCCUUUUGCUCUCAGGGUUCUGUUUCUGUCUCUGUCAAAUGCAGCCCAGCGCUGCCCAAUUUGCAUGGCUGUUUUUGGAGACUGAGACACUCAGUGAGGGGCCCAGCCCCUGGUGGGGGUGCUCAGUGACCGUCACUGUUGGCAUUUGCAGUGUGAGGAAUCGUCUGGCUUAUUCGUCAGGCCCUUUUGAGUUCCGUCCAAACAAUUCAACCCUCCAGGCCUGUGAAACGUCUGCUUCCCCAACACGGUGCGAUUUCCAAAGCAGAAAAAUGGAGGAGGCCCUGACCCCUGAUGGGAGAGUCACAGGUGACUCUGUGCAGUUGGUCUCUUGCCUGUCUCCUGCCCCUCUACAAAGAACCACCUGAGCUCCUGCACGGUGCUGUUACCCAGGCCUGAGGGCUGGUGGACCAGGACAGAGUCAGUAGAAAUCAGCUUCCAUCAACUUGGCUGGACCUUGGAGACUUCAGGCCUGCCCUGCCCUGGCUUCUUGGGGUGAGCCUGUCUUGUGGAGUUGCUGUAGCCACCGUCCAUCCAGGCAGGGGUUAGAGGCUCCAGACACAGCCGUGUCGAUGGGAACCUGGAGGCAAUGGAGGCCAUGAGAGCCUCCUCUCCCGAAAGCUCUCCGGCCUCCUUUUUGGAUACUCACCAAAUAGUCUUGAUCUUAAAACUCUGUGCAAAGAAACAGGAUGAACUUGUAGGAUUUGCAUAAGGAGGAAGGUAUGGAUUAUGAUGUGCAGCUCUUGCAGGCGCUCCUCCUGCAGUGCUGGGGGGCCCGCCUCAGAGGCGCAGCUGUGGGCACAGCUUGUGCUUUCAAAUCCUGGCGCCCCAGCUCUUCUGUUCUCUGGCUCGUUCCCUCACUGAUGAAGCAGGGAUAACAGUGCCCACCUCCUCAGGCUGUUAGGGCAUGGCCUGAGAUAGUAAGUGACGCAGGAGGGGGAGCCUCUUUCCCAGAGUCCUGCCUGUGCUGGCGCCUGUGCAGACCUGAUACCCGAAGCUAGACCUCAUGUGUGUUAGAGAACGCCCCUCUGGUUUCACCCUCUCAGACUGGGGGUUCAGUCACUGGCUGCUAAAACCUUCCUAAAGGCAAGGCCUCUCCUCUCCUUCCAGGGGCUCCGUGUCUAUUAGGUGUAUAAACAGAUCCAUCACUGAGCGUAUUGGUGAGUGCUGGCUUAGGAGCAAGGGUGGCUGAAAAUGAGGUGUCUGGAAAGGGCUCACAGGGGAGGAGCCGCUGAGGAGGGGAAGAAAAGGCCUGACUGGGAAGAUGGGGUCGGCUCAUUCCUGGCAGGGGCAGCCUGUGUGAAGCCCAGAGGCACAGUGAGGAGCCUGCCCGUUGUUCGGUCUUGCUGGAGCCAAGGGUGUGAAAUGGGAGCUGAGAGUGUGAUGUUAGCAGCAGUGGCCUCCCGGAAAGGGACCCCAUGUGGGAGCCCCCGGCCUGGCUCCAGGUGGCAGGACCAAGGAGGUGGCUGGUCCCAGGCGGCAGGACCAAGGAGGUGGCUGUUGCGUUAGUUGGAAGGCAUUGUCCUGCCAGGGUUUCUCAGGCCCUCGUUUGAGUAUUAAGAUACUGAACAUUAAACUGUCCUUCAUUCUCCAGCUCAGUUCUUUUAUUCAUUCAACAAACAUUGAGUGCCUACUGUGUGCCAGACACUAUUCUAGACACUGGGCAUACAGCCUGGCCUCCCAGCCCCGUGGGUAUGGAGCAGUGAGCAGGAGGACCUCGAGUGCUCCCCUUCCCCCCCUUGGCACACAUUGGCACGUGGUGUUGGCAGGUCAGAUAUUCUUUUCUUGGGGUUCACCAGCAUCCCCCUUGGAUGUACCCUCUGUGGUACCUACCUGCUUCCACCUCAGUCUCAGGCUGAUGGAAGAGAUUUUCAAAGUUAGCUUAGCUUUUGGAAUUGGCUCCUCCCCGUUUUGCUGGUCAAAGACUCCCCCACAGGACAGCUGCCUCCUUGAGCUCUGUGUGUAAAACUUGGGGAGCAGGACUUGCUGGAGCCAGUGUUUGGCCUGGCCCACACUGUUGGGCCUGGAGAGGCCCGCCUGCCCCUGUGGCUCAGGGCUUGGUGUCUGAAGUGGACCAAGGUGGCUGAAUUUGGCUUCUCCAGGGCCCCGUCCAGCCUGCCUUUCCCGGGCUGCCGUCCCAGCUCUGCUCCAUCAGAGUCGACUCUGCCACCCUUGGUCCUGACACUGAGUGCGUGUCUGAACACCACAGGGAGUGCGGAAUAGAGUGGGCAUAUUGUAGUUCAGAGGUGACGCUUGUAUCUGAAAUACGACCACAAUCGCCACGCAGAUGUCCUUCGUGAUGACACACGUCCCUGCACCGAGGGAGUGGCUGCACCCCAGUCUGGGGCUGUGUCCUUCCUAGUCAGUCUGUUCUGUCCGAAGCCAGGAACGCCUGAGGGCAGGUUUGUCUCCGUCCCAAGUCCUCCCCCGGAGCCGGCACACAGUGGGCAGCAGGAAGGGCUUGUGGAACAAACGCAGGCGGCAAUGGAAGGAUCCCCAGCGUGGGGGUUUUCAGCAGCUGAUCGCGGAGGGGAGCUGGACUGCGAGGCCGUCUCUGCCCACCUCCCUCUCACUGACCAGCUGGCUAGGGUGAUAUGCGCGUGGAGGGUGGCAGGCUGUGGCUGCUGCCUUAUCCAGGUAGCCGCUUCCUGACACCCAAGGCUGGGCAGAGGGACUGAGUUGGUCCCAGGACGGAGCCUGCUGGGAAGGCUGUUAGCCACUGCCUUGCAGGUGCCAUAGCAAUGCCAGGCAGCCUACCUGUUCCUUGGAUUGGAUGGGAGAUCAGAGCCAUGAGGGAAGCAGGACUUUCCCCGGGAGCAGGCUCAUCCCGCCCCUGCCCUGGCCUGAUCUUGAUGGACCUGGAGCUGUGGAGUGCCUCUCCCACAACACACAUGCAGAUGCAUGCACUCACACACAUGCGCUCACACAUGCACACUCGUGCACAUACACAUGUACUCACAUACGUGCACACUGCACUCAUACACAAGCAUGCCGUGCACACAUGUGCACUCACACACAUGCAAACGUGCACAUACACGUGCACUCACGCACACGUGCACACAUGCACUCACACACACGUGCACAUACAUGCACUCACACACAUGGACACACAUGCACUCACAUACACACAUGCACAUGCACUCACACACAUGCACACACACCUCCCACAUGCACAUGCACACACACAUACACAAGUGUACACACACACACACACACACACACACACACACCUAUAGUGCCAAGCUUCCAUACUGGGCCCUGUUCUGUGUGCAUACCAAUUUGCCUGAACAGAGUGUCCCUGUGUUCUAGCACCCGGGAGGAUUCAGAAGCGCCCUGGCUGCACUGCCGUGAUGGGGACGGCACGGACCUGCAUUUCUGAGGGUUCCUGCACGUGAUGAAGGGAAAAUUGCAACUGCCCAGGCAGCCUGUGCAGAAAAGGCAGUGGGUUUCAAGUUUGCUCAUAAACCAAAAGCCUCAGGUUCACAUGUCAUGGAUGAGGCUGAGAGGAGCAUGCAACCUCUGAGCUGUGUGCUCCGGCUGAUUCUGAGCUGGUGCUGGUGUGGACACCCCCGGGCUUCCAGCAGCACUGGAUGACCCGGAUCCUCACAUGACUCAUGAGGAGAGGCUGCCAUGUUCCUGCACUUCAGGUGUUGACUCCACAAUGAGAUGAUUCAGAUCCGACAGGCUGUGCAGGUGCCCCAGACACACAGCCCGCGAGGCUCAGUUAGGCUUGGCUAGCAACUGGGUUCUUAAUGAUGCUGACACUGGACAUGUCCAUGUGCCUGCCCUGGGGCAUGCACAGCCUUGUGGGAGGGGCCGAGAGGUGGGCAGGAAGUUAUGGGGUUGGGGGACAGGGAGCAGUGCGGGCUGUCGUAGGGCCACCACAGAGAAGGCUCCCAGCAUCGCCACUUUCUGUCAUCCUCACGGCAACCCUACAUGAAUGGGAAUAGGAGUAGGUGCCCUGUAAAGACCCCUCUGGGUGCCAGGCACGUGCUGAGCUCUGCCCACACCAUUCAGCCAUUCCUCAUCAUGGUCCUGAAGUAGAGACUCUUGUGUCCCCAGUUUACAGAGGAGGAAAGUGAGUCCUAAAGAGGCUACCUGUUCUCCUGUGGCCAUGCGGCUGGGUGGUGGUGGCACUGGGAUUUGAACCCAGAAAGUCUGGCUGUAUGGUCUUAGCCUUGGCCCACUUUCGCCUCCAAGAAAUAGACUCUGAGCAGUGAGUUGAUGUGUCCUGGGUCUUGCGGGGGCUGAGGGGUCUGGGAAGGGUGAUCUGCCCCUACCCCUGCAUCUCCCAUAUGGUCCCAUCCCUUGCACACGUGGUCCCUCUGUCUCAAUGCCCUUCCCCUCACUUUGUCAAACCCAGCAGCUGUUCAGCAGCCACACCAGAGCCCUCUCUGGAGGAGGCGUUUGCUGGUUUCCCCAGUGAAUGUCAUCCACACUGCCUGGUGAGGUCUGGCUCUCCAGCCUCUCUGUGUAUCCACAGGUCUCCCCAGCUCCUCAGUCCCUUUCGGGGAGGCUCAGGUCAGUCAUGCUGUGGUUACCCCUCAGUGCCCGACAUGGGUCAGCAGUGUCUGGUGGCUUGAAUGGAGGACCACAAAGAGUCCUCUCUCUGCAGAGGGUCCCUAGGUCAUAUCUGCUGAGUUAGCGCCACCUAUAAGAUUUAAAGACCACUGUGCUUUCGUCGGGAGGAACUGUCAGCUCAUGCAGGAUGGCAGGUGGUUUUCCCCAGUGGGGCCUCCAUUACGUCAUUUGAUGAGGGAGAUGACCAGACAGUGGCCCCCUAAAUGCAUGCCUCUAGAGUACUUAGGAGCCUGGCAACUGCUGCUGUGACUUCCUCUCCAGAGCUGGAGCUCCAGGGGCUGAGGUUCCCCCUCCCUGGGCAGCUCCUUCCUCCUGAUCUGGCUUUCCCUAUGAGCAAGAGCCUCCUGGCCGUAAGCUGCUUCCUCACAGCUUCUGCCCUGGCCCUUCCUCCAGCCAGGACACCUGGCAGAAAGCAUGGGCAGGAGGAGGUGCCUUGGCCCCAGGACAGCCAGGUGGGCAGUGAACGGACAAAGUCUGUGCAGGAGGGAACCACUGGAAUCAAAACACACUCUCAAAAUAUUUGAUUCUAACUUAAAACACAUAACACACACCCUUCCAUGGCGCUACUACAUGGCUGGCCCUACCUGCCUUGCUGGCCUCUGCUCACACCACUCCCUCCCUGCUCUUAGCUGGUUCCUGACCUCUAGCUGUCUCCCUCUGACUCCUCCUUACCCUGAGGCUCUCCUCAGCUUAUCAAAAAAAGAUUCCCCUAUUUUCUCUGUUUCAACCCUUUGUUGAUUUCCUCUGAAAUACUGUAUUACAGUGAAUGAUUACUUUUUUGGUCUGUUUACCUGUUUGGGCUUCUCCUCCUCACUGGAAUGCAAGACCUUUAAGGGUGUUUCUUGCUUUCCAAAAUAUUCCCAGCGGGGGCUGAGGAUGGUGGCUCACGCCUGUAAUCCCAGCAUUUUGGGAAGCUGAGGUGGAUGGAUCACUUGAGGUUAGGGGUUCAAGACCAGCCUGGCCAACGUGGUGAAACCCCAUCUCUAUCAAAAACACAAAAAUGAGUUGGGUGUGGUGGCAUGUGCCUAUAGUUCCAGCUACUUGGGAGGCUGAGGUAGGAGAAUCACUUAAACCAGGAGAUGGACGUUGCAGUGAGCUGAGAUCACGCCACUGCCCUCCAGCCUGGGCGACAGAGUGAGACUCCAUCUCCAAACAAACAAACACAAAACUAAAACAAAGAAAACCCCAAAAUAUCCCCAGUGGGUAGCACAGGGCCUGACACACAGUAGGGCUGCAUGAAUAUUUGUUGAAGGAAUGAGACAGUAUUAGGUGAGUGUAUUGCUGCCCCUUCCAGGUAGGGCACAGCCAACUGGGAGCCAGGCUGACAGCUGGAGUGCUGUGGCCCUGGGGUGCGAUGGGAGCCCCUUCUCACUGGGGUGUGCCCUGGAUUAGGGGUGGUGCAUGUAGAGUACAUGGCAUGCUGCUGGCACUUAGCAGGUGCUUUGUCAAGGCUGGUCCCUGUUACCUGAAAACUCUAGUCAAGUAGGCAUGACGUCUAUUGAGGUCCUACUGUGUUACUAUUAAGGGUUGAAUUAUGUCCCCUCCAAAAUUCAUAUGUUGAAGUCCUAACCCCCAGCGCCUCAGGAUGUGACUGUAUUUUGAGACAGGGCUUUCACAGAGGUACAUAAGGUUAAAUUAGGUCAUUAAGGUGGGCCCUGAUCCAAUAUGACUGUGUCCUUAUAAGAAGAGGAGGCUAGGACAGAGACACACAGAGAAGGACAACCGCGUGAAGACUCAGGGAGACGACAGCCAUCCGCAAGCCAGGAGAGAGGCCUCAGAAGAAACCAACCUGCCGACACCUUGAUCCAGCUCCAGAACUGUGAGGAAAUUGAUUUCUUUUGUUUAAGUGGCACCGUCUGGGGCACUUUGUUGUGGCGGUCCUAGAAAUAAAAACAGUUACCGAAUUUAAUUCUCCAAGCUCCAGCAGCAGAGUAUUUCCCCGUACUGAAAAUGAGGGUGCUGAGGCUCAGAGAGGUGAGCUCAUAUGCCCGGGGUCACAGGGCUUGCUGGCGGUGUGGGCACUGACAUUUGAACCCUGGUCCACUAGUCUUCCUCAGGGAUGGUGCAGGCCACACUGUCUGCCUCGGUGUCACUCGAGUGGCGGCCAAGCCCGGAAGCUCCUGUUUCCAUUUCAGUGCCCUUGUUACUGGCUGUUAGAAAGUCAAUAUUUUAUGGAGCCUCAUCAAUCUCCCAAGCCUUGGGUCUCCAUUCCCCUUUUUGGUGUGCGCCUCUUAAGGGUGCUUGAGUAUUUGUGAGAAACCAAGGUUUGACUACUCGAGAGUAAUUAAAAAAAAAGCUGCACCAAAGUUGCCCCAAUGCACCAUCGGGCUGCAGUGCCUCAGGGGCGUGGCUCGGUUUUUGCAACAGGGAGUAGCUCUUCUUGAAGCAUUGUGGGAUUUCUUUCCCAAGUUGACUUCACAUACAUUCUUCUCAGCACAUGUGAGGCAUCUGGUUAUCGGGAGGUGGAGUAAGAUGACAGCCCUAUUAUUGAAGGUCCGCAGACCCGGCCUGCUCACAAAGCCCUUCUUACAUCCUGUUUCAUUCUGUGCUCAUGGUAACUGUGAAGUGGGUGGGCAGGAACUGUGACUUCUCCUGUUCAAGUCUCAGACAGUGUCAGCCCCCCAGGGAGGCUGGCCUCCCAGUGCCAGUGCAGGUGGCUCCCCGUUGGCAGUCCUCCGCCACGUGCCCUGUACUUGUCUCUCUGGACCCAUUGCGCCUGGAGUUGCCUCGCUGUUUUAUCAUCUUGUGGUCCGUCUGCCUAUGAGCUCUUCCAGCCAGGUCUCCGGGCUUCGUUUUCAUGGCAGCCAUGGCUGCCAGCAGAGUGUCUGGUGCAAAGUGGGUGACACUAAGUAUCUGGAGCUGUGGUUCCAGGUAAUCCACAAACUUAGGUGUCACUUGGAAUGCACUGACUUGCAAAAAUGAGGACAAACUGUCGCUCCACCUGGGGCUUGCAGAUUCUGAAAAGGGACUGAAAAACCAGCUUUUUUGGUUGCCCAGGCUAGGGUGCCGUGGUGCGAUCUCGGCUCACUGCAACCUCUGCUUCCCAGGUUCAAGCAAUUCUCUGCCUCAGCCUCUCAAGUAGCCGGGAUUACAGGCGCCCACCACCACCACACCCAGCUAAUUUUUGUAUUUUUAGUAGAGACGAAGUUUCACCAUCUUGGCCAGGCUGGUCUUGAAUUCCUGACCUUGUGAUCUACCCACCUUGGCCUCCCAAAGUGCUGGGCUAACAGGCCUGAGCCACCGCAUCUGGCCAGAAAAAACAGCUUUUUAACAUGGCAGCCUGGGAAGCCUGGAAGUAGGCAGCACAAGCUUGUCUGGGACAGGCCAGGUCAGCUGCUGACCCCUGAGGCCUCAGAGACCGGCCAGUGUACCAUGAUUGACUUCCCUGCCAUGACCCCUUUGUGGCAUUGGCUCAUGGGUCCAGGUGGGAGCAUCUGAUUGGCCCCUGCUGGUCAUGUGCUAACCGGGAAGUUGUGUGUGAUAGGCUGAGCCGAGGUCUCAUACCUGCACAGUUUUAGCGGGGAGCAAGCAGAGAGAAAGGUGUGGCCCCUCCACUUCUGUAGAGCACAGCCUGUGAAGGGUCAUCCCAAAUAGGAAGGAGGACGCACACAAAACACCUCUUCCUCCAUGAAGCCCUCCUCAGGCCCAUCAAGGAGAACCAGCUGCCAUUCUCUUGGCUGCUGCCCCUCUGAGUCCUACAAAGGAGACGUGGCAUAGGGGCAGACUUGGUAAGCAGAUAAUGGGACGUCACUUACCUCAUCCCAUCAGUAACAUCCCGGUGUCAUUCCGUGUCACAUACUUAUCUGUGCUGUCUUCUUCAAGGUCUGGUUUCCCACUGUGUGGCUCCACUGUCUCAUGUUUAACCAGUCCUCUUAUGGGCAUCAGCUUUUCCAUUUUUACUUUGUGGGGACCAAACCCAUCAUUUCCAUCGGCCUGCCCUGCCCUAGGCUAAAAAGCACAUAAGAUGAAGUCUGCAUGACCCUCCGUGUCCCUGCAGAUAGAGCUUAACCAACCAGUGGUUCGCUUUCCAGACCUAAGCAGGUGGGAGCCAGAGGUGGACAUAUAGAGAUGGGGAAGGGGAGCCUCUGGGCUCCCAAGGCAGGGCCAUGGCUGGGGGAGCUGCCUCCAGACUCCUAAGGCAGGAGUGUGGCAGACACUUUGUAGGAAAAGUGCAUCUGUCCCUGGGGCGAGCGGCUUGCACAUGCAGCCCCAAGUCCCAGGGCCUGUGCGAUCCUGGCUGGCUGCUGUUGACAGAAUGGGGCAGGCGUGGGGGAUGCUUUUGAUUCAUGUACAGCGAAUGAUCUUAUUCUCACCUUUAUCACUGGUGGCAUAUUCUGAUGGAAGGAGAUGUUGGCAGUGGGACUUGGCAAGAAACAAGUCAUUUGUCAUGGCUGUGUGCCAGCCGGCCUGUAGCUGCACAGCCUGUCCUUGGGAAGUCUUGCUCACCUGUCACAUGGAGUAGGGGUGUGUGUGUGUGUGUGUGUGUGUGAGAGAGAGAGAGAAAGAGUGAGAGAGAGAUGUACACACAGAGAAGUGUCUGUACCUCUGAGAAUAUGGUUCUCCAGAGGAGGCAGAAAAAUUGGGGGUUCAAACUGUAGUGGGUUUAAAUGUGUCCCGCUCUCAGAAAUAGUGUCCACUCGGAAUCUCAGAAGGUGGCUUUAUUUGAAAAUAGGGGUUUUGCAUAUGUCACUAGUUAAGAUGAGGUCCUAUUGGAUUAGAGUGGGCUUCAAGUCCAGUGACUGGUGUCCUUCUAAGGAGAGAUCACACAGAGACACAGAGAGAAGAAGGCCAUGUGAUGGCAGAGGCAGAGGUUGGGGUGAUUUUUCUAUGCACCAGAAGCCAGGAAGGAGUUAGGGAGUGGCUCCUCCCUCAGAGCUUCCAGAGGGAGCCAGGCCUGCCCACAUCAUGAUGUCACAGUCUUGGCCUCCAGAACCAGGAGAGAGUAAAUUUCAGUUGUUUCCAGCCAUCUGUGUGUGCUCAUGUGUUAGAGCAGCCACAGGACAGGAUCCACAGACCCAUCCCAGGUGCUCACUCACAGCCCCCGGACACUCCUCUUCUGAAAAAUAAGGUGUAGGCCCAGAGCACGUUUGAUUUUCUGUGAAGGGCCUGAUAGUAGAUAUUUUAGGCUUUGCAGGCUGCAUAUUUUUCUUUUCUUUUUUUUUUUUUUUUUUUGAGGCAGAGUUUCACUCUGUCACCCAGCCUGGAGUGCAGUGGCACCAUCUCGGCUCACUGGAACCUCUGCCUCACAGGUUCAAGUGAGUCUCCUGCUUCCACCUCCUGAGUAGCUGGGAUCACAGGCACCUGCCACCAUGCCCGGCUAAUUUUUGUGUUUUUAAUAGAGAGGGGGGGUCUCACCAUGUAGGCCAGGCUGGUCUCGAACUCUCGACCUCAGGUGAUCCACCUGCCUCAGCCUCCCAAAGUGCUGGGAUCUGUUGCAUAUUUUUCUUUGUUUUGUUGUCAUUUGUUUGUUGUUUAUUUCACAAUCCUUUGGAAAUGCAGAAAACACUUUUAGCUCUUGGGCUAGUGUCCCUGAUUUUGCCCUUAGGGAAGCCUCACUGUAUGCUAAGCAGAGUGGGCAUGGUUUCCUCCCCUAUCAAUGGGAAUAAUGAUGGUUUCCCUGAGAGAGGACCCAGGGGAAGCCUGGGGUGGCGCUUGCCUCCUGUUUCUGUGGCCAGGUCUACUGUCUGCUUCACAUUGUAAUCCCCAGAACCAGGCACAGCGCUUAGUACAGGGCAGGCCGAGCUUGGGGAAGAUUUGCUUGAAGUGACCCAAGGCCAGAGGAAGACCUUGAGACCCAAGUCCUCUGUGCUUCCCUCUGUCCUGGCGGUGACUUCCAUGGCACACCAUUGUCCCUUUGGGAGCACAGGAAUCUGGCUGAGUCAUCUCUGAAGUGAGGAGAACCCAGCACAGGGACCAAUGGCUUGGAGAGAGCAGCUCAGCCUACGUGGGGAGGGUUGAGGGUGCCCAGGCCUAGGGUGAUUUGACCCCACCCCACCCUAGCACAGCCAUAGUGCUGGGGCCGAGGUUCACCCGGGAGAUAUGGGAGUUUAGAGAAGAGGAAAAUGAUUUUUUUUUUUGAGAUGGAGUCUAGUUCUGUUGUCCAGGCUGGAGUGCAAUGGUGCGAUCUUAGCUCACUUCAACGUCUGCCUCCCAGGUUCAAGCAGUUCUCUUGCCUUGGCCUCCCAAUAGCUGGGAUUACAGGCGUGCGCCACCACCCCCGGCUAACUUUUUAAAAAUGUUUUUGGUAUAGACAAGGUUUCAUCAUGUUGGCCAGGCUGGUCUCAAACUCCUGACCUCGUGAUCUGCCUGCCUCGGCCUCCCAAAGUCCUGGAUUCCAGGUGUGAGCCACCACACCUGGCCAAAGAGAAUAAUUUCUAAGAGCGAGAGCUGGUGACAAGAGCGUGGAGCUGGAGCUAGACCCAGGCUUGAAUUCCGGCUUUGUGUGAGGCAGCUGUGUGACCCUUGGUGAGUGUGUCAGCCUUGAUGGGCUUUAGCUUCCUCUCUAGGAGGGCACAGCAAGCCCUGCCUGUCAGGGCCGUGCUGAAGAUGGGGUGACCAGAGUAGGAGGAGCUGGGUCCCAGAAGCACCUGGGAACAGCCCCGUGGGUAGGUGGCUCUGAACGGUUGAGACCCACGUCAAGACCACACUCCUUCCAGAGCAGUUCAUGUCCACCUGCCCACAUCCUUCCUGCCUCAGCACGGUCCGUAGGUUUCUAUGAUCACCCAUUUUACAGAUGAGGGAGCAGAUGCCCAAAGAAGCAGCUGACUUCCCAAGGCGGCAAGGCAAGGGGCAGAAUGAGGACCCCAGCCCGGUUCUCCCCACCCCCUCCUUCCCUUCCGGAGCCCCUGCCUGCUGGAGGCACUGUCCCAGCAGUGGAGGGUCAGGCCACACCCUCCAGAGCUGAGGGGAGCCUCUGUCAUCUCAAAUGAUUGGUUGAAUGACAAAAAUCUUCUGGGAUGCUGCUGUUUGAGGCUGGUUGACUUCACUGAGCCUUUCCUGGCGGCUGCUCAGGGUGUCUAGAAUGAGCUGUGGAUAAGGGCCAUCCCUUGAGUGACCGUGUCCCCAAGCAGCUGAAGUGCCCCUCUGCCUGGACGAGCGUGGAUUCUGAGAAAGCCUGCCUGCCCUCACCGGAGGCACCUCUGACUCACUACUGCAAGGCUGUGGCCAUCGACUGGGGUCCCUGGGGGCCCCUGGGAGACUCAGCAGGAGAACAUGUUUAUCCAGAAGCCAAGGCAACACCCAGAGGGAGCUGGUGUGGGUGUGCCAGGCAGGCUGGGCCUGGAAACAUGCCCCAUGGUAUUGCCUUUGGGACUCUGGGAGCCUGAGGCUUGUUCUCAGUGUGCAGGGCAGGGGCUGAGUGCCACCUACAAGGGCCAAACUGAGGUUACGGAGCGGGAGGCAGGACCCCCAGAAAAGCUGGUUUUUCUCUUUGGAAGUUUCCCAAGACUUGGGUCAGCAGACAGUGGAAUGGGGGUAAUGGCCACGCCCUCAAUGUAAGCCCGGGGCAAGUCCCUGUGAAAAUCCCGUGGACAGGGCCUGGCAACCAGAGCAGCAUGGCUACCUGGACCCUUCCCUUUUCUCUUACUCCCUCCCUCUCUAUGGGGUCUGCAAGGGAGUCUGGUUAAUGGCAUCUCCCUCCCUGUCCAGGAGCUGGAUCCAUAAAGCAUAAGCCAAAAGGGGCAGCAAGCGGAGACAGAAGCUUCCUGCUACCACCCAGCUGAGCUGGCUUAGGUGCAGGGGCCUAGUGGGCUUCCCCAGUGCUGCACCAAAGCAGGCAGGGGUGGAGGGAGUAGCGGGGGAGUGGAACAAAGCAGAGUGGCCCCUGCCUCUUCUCCACCAGGAGGAGGGGAUAGGUGGGACUGGACUCUUUCCCACCUCUCUUCCCAAUAUUCCAGAGGCAGUCACUCUCCUUCCCACGCAGGGAGAGAGGUCAGGAGUCUUCCCCUGGGGCACACACAGGGGGCCCAGCAGGCUUGGAAGAAGCGUUUCCCUCCUCCCCUAGUCCUGCCAGAUGGUCCCAGCCCUCCUGCUGGGUUCCCUAAUAGGAAGGAUCUGGACUCAGAGCUGCUGCCUGGUGUCCGUGGUCCCGGGCUGGAGGGCGUGUUGGCAGCUCGAGCCUGGCCAGCGCAUGGAGUGGUGGCAGGAGAGGAUCGGGAGGGGAGCAGGGACGGCAGGAGGAGCCUGUAGCCCAAUGGGUACAGCCAGGGUUCCUGUUUCAUCCAGGGGCCAUAGCUGCUUUCUGCUGGGAAAACUCCCGCUGGAGGGAUGGGGUGGGCAGUGCUGGAGACCCUGGUGGUGAGUGCUGAGCUGUGGCAGAGGUGAGGAUCAGGAGGAGCUGGGAGGUACAUUCGCAGGUCAUGCUGAAGGACUGCCUCUGAGCAUUUUUGUGAGAUGGUGGAAAGAGGCUGUGAGUCAGACCUAGGUUUGAAUGCUGGCUCCUACUCUUGGUAGCAGGGUGACUUCAUAUGACCUUUCUGAACCUCAGUUUUUUCUGUUGUAAAAUGGGGAAAACAGCACAUCACGGGGGUGGUUGUGUACAUUUAAGGAAGCCACCCCAGGGCUGGGCACAUGGGUAGCGGUUGUCAUAUCCUUGUUACCACAGGUGAGGGAGGGAGGAGGAUUGAGUAUCCAGCUUUCUGGCUAGGCUGGCGGGCAAAGGUGGUAGAGGAGUGGGUUGCUUUUGGAAGAUGGUGAGCCUAAUCUUAGACACAUUAUAUUUAUAUUGCUGCUGAGAAAUCCAAAUAGAAAGACCCAGGAUGACAGCAGGGACCGGUAGCAACUUGGGAUAAAAAAUUGGUACUGGGAUCCUUGUCACUGAUCCUGUGGGUAAAGGAGCUGAGGUGCUCUGUGUGGGCCCAGCUGGCAGAAUUGGACUCGUUGGGGUCAAGUCCUAGGAGAGAGGGUUAGAAGAAGAAUGCUUUCGUUAUCAGAGCUAUUAACAGCUGUGCAAUGUGGUAGUGAGCUCCCCAUCAUAGGAGGUAUGUGAGGCUUGGCGGGAGGACUACCCAGGGGUCUGUUGUAGAAGGAUUCAGACACCAGAGAGGGUUGGACUGGAUGACCUUCAGUUCCCCCCUGAGUGACAGCAGCUCUUUAAAGCCCCUCACUGCUUCCCGCUUUUCCAGGAUUCAGGGUUGAAUGUCAGAAAUCUACAGGGAAUGCUGCCGACUGAGGCAUGGUGAUUUAGCCAAGGCUUUCCUGGCGGCUGCUCCGGGUGUCUGGAAUGAGCUGUGGGAGAAGGCCACCCUGUGAGUGGCCCUGCCCCCCUUGCAGCUGAGGUUCCCCUUGGCCUGGAACAGCAUGGGUUCUGAGAAAGCCCGCUUGCCCAUAUUGGAGGCGGUUUUCAAAGUGUAACUGUCACCAUGACCCAGACAUGCCUGAGCCCCAGGCUGGGAGUGCUUUUUUUUCUUUGCUUUAAAAAGCAGAAAUGGUGAAGCAAGCAUAAAUUUGCCUUUGAAAUAAGAGGCUGAACGUCUGCCAAAUGCAAAUGGAUAGAAACGGCCACUGGUCUGACCUUGGGAUCUGCGACUGGUAGUUUCAGAGGGGCUCAGAGUCCCCAGGCCGGCGGCUGUCAUGGUGGAUACGCUGGUGCUGGCUGGUUCGAUCCUUUCGAAAGCUCCCUGAUAGUCACUUCCAGGAGAGAAAGCCCCAGCAGGGCCUCCAGCUUGCAGACGAGGUGCAUUCCCUGGGAGGCAGCAGCUCUGUGAGAGGACCAGCCCUUUUUGUCCACUGUUCUGGCAUUCCAUGGCCUUGCUCUCCCAGUAUCUGCAACUGUUCCUGACACCAUCCCUUCCUGUCAUGCGAGUGAGAUGCUCUUCUGUGGACCCUAGGUUCCUACCCUGGGAGGGCGACCCUGAGUUACAGAGAAAGGGGAGCAGUCUGUUCAGGGAAAUAAGUGCAUGUGGUGAGCAUCUACAGGCGGCCAGGGAUGGAGGGCUUUUCAUCCGGGCUUUCAGAUGAGGCCCUGAAGCUGAGAGGGGUUGGGCAAUCAGUCUGAGGUUGCAAAGCCAGGAAGGAGUGAUGGCGCAGUGAUUCCCAUUGGGCUCACCCCCUGUUCCUCCCUUCACCCAGCCCAGAGCCUUGUGGAUACAUUAGCCCAAAAAGACUUCCGCUUGCUUCCCCCUUGCUUCUUUGAGCCUCAGUUUCCCCAUCCAUAUACCAGGAGGCAUUCAGAUGGGAGGAGCCCCCUGCCCAUCUUGUGGGGCUCUUUGACCUGGUGAAAUGAGAUCUAGAUACUGGCUCUCUGUGUCGACUGUAAAGUGCCUACCAGUUGAUGUUGGUGCCUGUAGCCAUCCUUGAGGCUAAAAUAGACUGCUGCUUGCCUAGUGCUCCUCCCGCCAACCUCCUGCUUUCUGCCUGACUUCCCUCGCCCCACCGAUGAACCCUGGAGCCGCCUGCAAGUGGGAAAGCUCUUUUGUUAGUUUCCAUGGACAGCCCACUGUGCACAUGAUCGGAGGGUUUGCAAGCCCGGCUGAGGUCCAUGGAACUGGUUUUUUCAUACACGUAGAAAGUAACGCAGGGCGCUGCCGAAUAAAUUUGCUGCCUGCCUGGCCGUACCAGCUCAUGCCCGUUCUAGCUCCAGGCAGGAGGAGGAGAAAGGCAUACCAGGCCAUAUUUUGUUUCUUUCAGUAUUGAUUUACCUGUACACACACACACACACACACACACACACACACACACAUACUUGCACACACUCUCACAGACACACACACUCUCACAGACACACACACACACACAGGCACAAUUUAUAUUACCGUCCAGUGCAUAACUGUAGAUUUGGGCCACAUCGAUCUGUGUUUGGCCAUUGACCGGCAACACGGCAGUGGCCAACUGCAGAGCCACCAGGGAGCAUCCUAAUUCUGAUUGAGUGUUAUGAAGAUGCGAUGGGAAGGAGAUGCGGGUGGGCAGGGGCUCUGGGGGAUCAUGAGGGUUGGGAGGGUCCCCUGUCUGGAGCUGGCCCCUGAGUGGGAGCCCCAGCACAGCUCCCUGCUAGCUGUGGCCUCUGGCCAAUCUCCACUUCUUAAGAGUCUCAGUGACUCCAGCAGCCACCAUGAGGAUUGUUGGGGUGUCCAAGAAUGAAAGUGGGGGUCAUCCCUGGCCCUCAGGGGAUAUGUGAGCUUCCCUAGCAUCAUGAAUGGAACAGGUGCGUGCUGUUGUGCAGGCUGAAAGGCGGCAGGGUGUUCCCUCCCGGCAGGGUCGCGUCCUGUUCUGAUGACUGCACCAAGACAAAGAUCCCAGCCUCUGACAUGCGCACCCACCGGCAUCUGCUCAGCAGAUUUAACUACCGGCUGAGAUGGGUUGUGUUGGGGUCACUAACUGUGCUCCAUAAGUGAUGAAAUUGGGCAAGUCCUCACCUCUAGGGGCUCCGACCUUGAGAAGCUUUGACCCUGAGUAGCUGAAGGAACAGGCAGUUCAGCUUCAGCUUAUGGGGCAUGUGUGCACACAGGCCUGAGUGUGAGAGCGUGUCAGUGUGUACCGUGUGACUGUAUAUGCAGGCAAGUGUGCAUGCAUAUGUGUAAGUGCAUGACAAUGUGUGUGAAUACAUGACUAUGUUAGUGUGUACGCACAACUGUGUGUGCACAUGUAUGUCCGAGCACAUUGCCAUGUGUGUGAAUGUGUGGGUGUGAGUGUGUGACUGCAUGACUGUGUGUUAGUGUGUACGCACAACUGUGUGUGCACAUGUAUGUGUGUGUGAAUUGUACGUGUAUUGCCGUGUGUGUGAAUGGGUGUAAGUGUGUGAUUGCAUGACUGUGUGUUAGUGUGUACGCACAACUGUGUGUGCACAUGUAUGUCCGAGCACAUUGCAGUGUGUGUGAAUGUGUGGGUGUGAGAGUGUCUGAUUGCAUGACUGUGUGUUAGUGUGUACGCACAACUGUGUGUGCACAUGUAUGUCCGAGCACAUUGCCGUGUGUGUGAAUGUGUGGGUGUGAGAGUGUCUGAUUGCAUGACUGUGUGUUAGUGUGUACGCACAACUGUGUGUGCACAUGUAUGUCCGAGCACAUUGCCGUGUGUGUGAAUGUGUGGGUGUGAGUGUGUGAUUGCAUGACUGUGUGUUAGUGUGUACGCACAACUGUGUGUGCACAUGUAUGUGUGUGUGAAUUGUACGUGUAUUGCCGUGUGUGUGAAUGUGUGGGUGUAAGUGUGUGAUUGCAUGACUGUGUGUUAGUGUGUACGCACAACUGUGUGUGCACAUGUAUGUGUGUGUGAAUUGUACGUGUAUUGCCGUGUGUGUGAAUGUGUGGGUGUAAGUGUGUGAUUGCAUGACUGUGUGUUAGUGUGUAUGCACAACUGUGUGUGCACAUGUAUGUCCGAGCACAUUGCAGUGUGUGUGAAUGUGUGGGUGUGAGAGUGAUUGCAUGACUGUGUGUUAGUGUGUACGCACAACUGUGUGUGCACAUGUAUGUGUGUGUGAAUUGUACGUGUAUUGCCGUGUGUGUGAAUGGGUGUAAGUGUGUGAUUGCAUGACUGUGUGUUAGUGUGUACGCACAACUGUGUGUGCACAUGUAUGUCCGAGCACAUUGCAGUGUGUGUGAAUGUGUGGGUGUGAGAGUGUCUGAUUGCAUGACUGUGUGUUAGUGUGUACGCACAACUGUGUGUGCACAUGUAUGUCCGAGCACAUUGCCGUGUGUGUGAAUGUGUGGGUGUGAGUGUGUGAUUGCAUGACUGUGUGUUAGUGUGUACGCACAACUGUGUGUGCACAUGUAUGUGUGUGUGAAUUGUACGUGUAUUGCCGUGUGUGUGAAUGUGUGGGUGUAAGUGUGUGAUUGCAUGACUGUGUGUUAGUGUGUAUGCACAACUGUGUGUGCACAUGUAUGUCCGAGCACAUUGCAGUGUGUGUGAAUGUGUGGGUGUGAGAGUGAUUGCAUGACUGUGUGUUAGUGUGUACGCACAACUGUGUGUGCACAUGUAUGUCCGAGCACAUUGCCGUGUGUGUGAAUGUGUGGGUGUGAGUGUGUGAUUGCAUGACUGUGUGUUAGUGUGUAUGCACAACUGUGUGUGUACAUGUAUGUCCGAGCACAUUGCUGUGUGUGUGAAUGUGUGGGUGUGAGAGUGUGUGACUGCAUGACUGUGCAUGUUCACUCUGCUUAUUCUAAGGGGAAAUAGCAGGAAAUCCGUAAGAAAAUGACUGUGUAAGUCUCAUGGGUGGGGGCUUAUGAUACUGGUAGAGUCUGUCUUGGUCUGUUGGUGCUCCCGUAACAAAAAUGCCAUAGAUUGGGUGGUUCACAAACAACAGAAACUUAUUUCCAGCAGCUCUAGAGCCGGGAAGUCCAAGAUGAAGGUGCCAGCAGAUUCGGUGUCUGGUGAAGGUGCUCUUCCUGGUUCAUAGGUGGUGACUUCCUGCGGUGUCCUCACAUGGUGGAAGGGACAAGGGAGCUCUCAUGCACCUUUCUUCUAAGGGCUCCACCUUAGACCCUUAGAAUCCCAUUCAUGCGGGCUCCACCCUCACGACCUCAUCAUCCCCCAAAGGCCCCAUCUCCUAACACCGUCACCUCGGGGUUAGGGUUUCAACAUAGGAAUUUGAGGGGACACAGCCAUUCCAUCUGUGACCAGACUCAGUCAGCCUUCUCCCUGCAGGGCUGCAAAGGAAGACACUGCCAGUUUCCUAAGAAAGGACACAUUGUAAAAUCCACGGCACAAAAGCUCUAGGUUGGGAGCCUUUUCCAGCACUCAGAUCGGGGUUCAAACCCCAACUGCGCCCUUCAGGAGCUGUGUGACUUGGGCAUUCCUUCAUUUUUUAUUCAAGCACACAGCUGGCAUCUAAGCACCUACUGUGUGCCAGGGGCAUCGAAAUAGAGGGGUGGGCUCCUGUGAUAUUAGGCAGGCAGCUUUCUAUUCCAGGGCCUCAUCUUUCUCACUGGUGGAAUGAGGGCAGGAGCCCCUCCCCUGGGGUUACUUUGAGGGGUCAGUAAGGUGAGCGGUUAGUCUGUCGCACAGCCCCUGAACGUUGUUUACAAGUCAGUCCUCUGUCCCAUCCCUUCAGUUUCCUCUUCCCUGGUUUUGACUGACCAAUAGUCAUCACCU
Callithrix jacchus (white-tufted-ear marmoset) is the source of this 46146-nucleotide non-coding RNA. NCBI's taxonomy places the organism in Eukaryota, Metazoa, Chordata, Mammalia, Primates, Cebidae. The record is from RefSeq and is a predicted model, not a curated record.